Molecule: long non-coding RNA, 60743 nt
Filed under: Triticum aestivum (bread wheat)
Lineage: Eukaryota; Viridiplantae; Streptophyta; Magnoliopsida; Poales; Poaceae
Description: long non-coding RNA (TAES_LNC005080)
Source: RNAcentral
AUGGCUAUGGAAAUGCCAUAAUAGGUAGGUAUGGUGGUUGUUUUGAGGAAGAUAUAAGGAGGUUUAUGUGUGACAGAGCGUAUCAUAUCACGGGGUUUGGAUGCACCGGCGAAGUUUGCACCAACUCUCGAGGUGAGAAAGGGCAAUGCACAGUACCGAAGAGGCUAGCAAUGAUGGAAGGGUGAGAGUGCGUAUAAUCCAUGGACUCAACAUUAGUCAUAAAUAACUCACAUACUUAUUGCAAAAAUCUACAAGUCAUCAAAAACCAAGCACUAUGCACAUGCUCCUAGGGGUAUAGAUUGGUAGGAAAAGACCAUCGCUCGUCCCCGAUCGCCACUCGUAAGGAAGGAAAUCAAAGAAACACCUCAUGCUUCAAAUUUGUCACACAACGGUUACCAUACGUGCAUGCUACGGGACUUGCAAACCUCAACACAAGUAUUUCUUAAAUUCACAAUUACUCAACUAGCACGACUCUAAUAUUACCAUCUUCAUAUCUCAAAACAAUCAUCAAGUAUCAAACUUCUCAUAGUAUUCAAUGCACUCUAUAUGAAAGUUUUUAUUAUACCCCUCUUGGAUGCCUAUCAUAUUAGGACUAGUUUCAUAACCAAAGCAAACUACCAUGCUGUUCUAAAGACUCUCAAAAUAAUAUAAGUGAAGCACGAGAGUUCAUCUAUUUCUUCAAAAUAAAACCACUGCCGUGCUCUAAAAGGAUAUAAGUGAAGCACUAGAGCAAAUGACAAACUACUCCGAAAGAUAUAAGUGAAGAUCAAUGAGUACUCGAAUAAUUAUGUAACUAUGUGAAGACUCUCUAACAUUUACGAAUUUCAGAUCUUGGUAUUUUAUUCAAACAGCAAGCAAAAUAAAAAAAAAUGACGCUCCAAGCAAAACACAUAUCAUGUGGUGAAUAAAAAUAUAGCUCCAAGUAAAGUUACCGAUGAACAAAGACGAAAGAGGGGAUGCCAUCUGGGGCGUCAUUUUAGCUUAGGCUCUUGGUUGUCCUUGAAUAUUACCUUGGAGUGCCUUGGUGAAAGGAUCGAUAUGGUUGACUAGAGAGGGGGGGGGGGUGAAUAGGCAACUAACAAUUUUUAGCUUUUCUUUACCAAAUUAAACUGUGCAUCAAAUUAGGUUGUCUAGAUGUGCAACUAGGUGAGCAACCUAUAUGAUGCAACAACAACGAACACACAAGCAAGCAAGAGAUGUAAUGCUAAUAAGCUUGCACAAGUAAAGGUGAGAGAUAACCAAGAGUGGACCCGGUGAAGACGAGGAUGUGUUACCGAAGUUCCUUCCUUUUGAGGGGAAGUACGUCUCUGUUAGAGCGGUGUGGAGGCACAAUGCUCCCCAAAAAGCCACUAGGGCCACCGUAUUCUCCUCACGCCUCACACAAUGCAAGAUGCCAUGAUUCCACUAUUGGUGCCCUUGGAGGCGGCGACCGGACCUUUACAAACAAGGUUGGGGCUAUCUCCACAACUUAAUCGGAGGCUCCCAACAACACCACGAAGCUUCACCACAAUGGACUAUGGCUCCGUGGUGACCUCAACCGUCUAGGGUGCUCAAACACCCAAGAGUAACAAGAUCCGCUAGGGAUUGGUGGGGGAUUCAAAUUUCUCUUGGUGGAAGUGUAGAUCAGGGCCUUCUCAACCAAUCCCAAGCAAAUCAACAAGAUUGAUUGGCUAGGGAGAGAGAUCGGGCGAAAAUGGAGCUUAGAGCAUUAAUGGAGCUUAGAGGUGGAAGAGGUAGUCAACUAGAGGGAGAAGACACCCCUUAUAUAGUAGAAGAACAAAUCCAACCGUUAUCCACCAACCCAGCCUGCGCAACGCGGUACUACCGUACCAGAGGCGUGGUACUACCGCAGGGGCAAGCGGUACUACCGCAGGGCCCCGCGGUACUACCGCCCAUGCAGCAGAGACCAGCCCAGCCCAAAAUGCACUAAGGUAGAGGGCGGCAGUACUGCUGGCGCGGUACUAUCGCGCCCCCUUGCGGUACUACCGCAAGGCAGGGACUGACCAGAUAUGGGAAGGCACGGAUAUAAUAAAUUACAUCCGUGGCUACUUCUGCUGAGUUGGAGUCGAUGCAAAAACCCGAUACGGUAGUACCGUAAGCCAACAGCGGUACUACCGCGCUAGGCGCGGAUGAAAUAAUUUCAUCCGCCCCUUACUGCCACAUACUUGCGGAACUAAGCCAGAUAGCACAGUACUACCGUGCCCAGUGCACGGUACUACCGUGAUGGGUGUCACCCACUAGGGAGAGAGUGACAAUAUCUGGACUCCGGCCACAGUACUACCACUUGCCAGGAAGCGGUACUACCGUGGGCACUUGCGGUACUACCGCAAGGGCCUGCGGUACUACCGCUCUAAGGAGCAGUACUACCGCACACCCUAGUUCAGCAAGCACGCGCAAUAUUUGCAUAGACAAGGAAAACAUGGGAUGCUCCAAAGGCUAGAAGAAAAGGAGGAACACAGGAAGAUGUGUACGUGAUGAAUCCGCCCACCCUUUCCAACGCGGACCCCCUCUUAAUAGUACGGCUUCCCUACGACUCAAUACCACCGAAAAAAACGAAGAGAAACGCUGUCUUCCAUAGCCUUCGAGGGGAACCAAAUCAUCUUGUGCCUUAGUCAAUAUAUAUCUGAAAUAUUCGAUGCACAUGAUUAGUCCGCAAAAGUAUUGUCAUCAAUCACCAAAACCAACUAAGGGAUAAAAUGCCCUUACAAUCUCCCCCUUUUUGGUGGAUUGAUGACAACACGGGAUUUGCACAAGAGUAUAAUGCAAAGAGCAAGGGCAAACCCCAAGUCUCUAAAAUAUAGACGGGCUCCCCCUAGAUGUGUGCUAUCUUUAUGAGUGCUUUGGACUGCACGACACACAUACUAGGAUCAACACUCCCCCUAUAUUUUAUAGACAAGGCAUAUCUUGCAAUACGACUAAAACUAAGCAAGAUAGGAAAGAGCAUGAUGAAAUAAGCACAAGAUAGAAUAAGCUCACUACGGUACGACAGAGUGCAUAUGUCUUACACCAUAUGAUAGAAGGACUCACAAGCACAAACCAAAGCAAAUGACAUAAACGAAGUUCAACUGACCCAAACACGACACAACUCGCAAAUCCUACAUUCUCUCCCCCUUUGGCAUCGAGAUGCCAAAAGGGCAGAGAGGACACCUACAACAGAAGGGGUGGCUCAAGCUGAGUAGUCACUCGCACGCUCCCCGUCAAACUCGGUGAUACAUCUCCGUCGUAUCUACUUUUCCAAACACUUUUGCCCUUGUUUUGGACUCUAACUUGCAUGAUUUGAAUGGAACUAACCCGGACUGACGCUGUUUUCAGCAGAAUUACCAUGGUGUUAUUUAUGUGCAGAAACAAAAGUUCUCGGAAUGACCUGAAACUUCACGGAACAUCUUUUUGGAAAUAAUAAAAAAUCCUUGCAAAAGAUUAAGACCAAGGGGCCCACACCCUAGCCAUGAGGGUGGGGGGCGCGCCCCCUACCUCGUGGGCCCCCUGGAGCUCCUCCGACCUCGACUCCAACUCUAUAUAUUUUCUUUCGAGGAGAAAAAAUAAGGAAGAAGGAUUCAUCGCGUUUUACGAUAUGGAGCCGCCGCCAAGCCCUAAAACCUCUCGGGAGGGCUCAUCUGGAGUCUGUCCGGGGCUCCGAAGAGGGGAAUCCGUCGCCAUUGUCAUCAUCAACCUUCCUCCAUCACCAAUUUCAUGAUGCUCACCGCUGUGCGUGAGUAAUUCCAUCGUAGGCUUGCUGGACGAUGAUGGGUUGGAUGAGAUUUAUCAUGUAAUCGAGUUAGUUUUGUUAGGAUUUGAUCCCUAGUAUCCACUAUGUUCUGAGAUUGAUGUUGCUAUGACUUUGCUAUGCUUAAUGCUUGUCACUAGGGCCCGAGUGCCAUGAUUUCAGAUCUGAACCUAUUAUGUUUUCAUCAAUAUAUGAGAGUUCUUGAUCCUAUCUUGCAAGUCUAUAGUCACCUAUUAUGUGUUAUGAUUCAUUAACCCCGAAGUGACAAUAAUUGGGAUACUUACCGGUGAUGACCGUAGUUUGAGGAGUUCAUGUAUUCACUAUGUGUUAAUGCUUUGGUCCGGUACUCUAUUAAAAGGAGGCCUUAAUAUCCCUUAGUUUCCGCUAGGACCCCUGUUGGUGUCAAAACCGGCGGAUCUCGGGUAGGGGGUCCCGAACUGUGCGUCUAGGCCGGAUGAUAACAUGAGGCAAGGGACACGAAGUUUUACCCAGGUUCGGGCCCUCUUGAUGGAGGUAAAACCCUACAUCCUGCUUGAUUAAUAUUGAUGAUAUGGGUGUCACAAGAGUAGAUCUACCACGAGAUCAGAGAGGCUAAACCCUAGAAGCUAGCCUAUGGUAUGAUUGUAUGUUAUGAUUGCCUUUCUAUGGACUAAAACCCUUUGGUUUAUAUAGUCACCGGAGAGGGUUAGGGUUACACAAGGUCGGUUACAAAGGAGGAGAUAUCCAUAUACGUAUUGCCUAGCUUGCCUUCCACGCCAAGUAGAGUCCCAUCCGGACACGAGACGAAGUCUUCAAUCUUGUAUCUUCAUAGUCUAAUAGUCCGGCCAAUGGAGAUAGUCUAGCUGUCCGGAGACCCCCUAAUCCAGGACUCCCUCAGUAUCCCCCGAACCAGGCUUCAAUGACGACGAGUCUGGCGCGCAGUAUUAUCUUCGGCAUUGCAAGACGGGUUCCUCUCCAAAUUCUGUGUACCUGUCGAAAUAAUGUCCGGUUCCUUGUGAUGGUUUGUACUCCUUGGCUUCUACGCCCAAUAAUGACCACUUUCCAUGUGUCAAGCGAAUGUGAAGAGCCAGGGUGUUUUCACAUUUACCCCCCUAGCUAUGUAGAUGAGCCGCCUAUUUAAAAAGACGAGGAUUCAGAUCCAAAUCACAUCAUCCUCCCUUGCCGAGUCUUCAUCGGAGCGUACCCGACAGAGAUCCAUUCCACCAUGGCCGGUCGACGCAGCUCCUCCUCUCGCACCCCUAGUUCCAAACCUGGAGAUUGGGAGAGAUGUUCCAUCCUGCACAGCAAAUUGGUGAUGCUUCAGUCCAAGGGAUUUCUUCCCCCAGCGUACCUGGUCCCGGUUCGAGCCAGGCUUGCCAUCUACAAUGGCGGAGAGCAAGCGGAGAGCCGUCCCAAUCCCUCCAAGGGAGAGCGGGUAUACCUUAUCCCUUAUCUAGUAAGAGGGCUCAGAUUCCCAAUUCAUCCGUUUCUCCGGGGGCUUCUGGAGUUCUAUGGCCUCCGGCUGCACAACCUUACGCCUGCCUCCCUGCUGCAUAUCGCAGGAUUCAUAGCCCUUUGCGAGUUAUUUUUGGGCUGUGAUGCUCAUCUCGCUCUGUGGAAGAAGCGGUUCUGCCUUGUGCCCCGUUUUAAGAAGGGAUCAAUAUAUCAAGUGGGCGGAGCCGAAGUGUGGCGUAUUUCCGGGACCGGAUACCUGUUCGGGACCUCGAAGAAGACGUCCGAAGACUGGCCUUCAGAAUGGUUUUAUAUAGAAGAUGUCCCCCUUCCGGACCCUAUUCGGAUCGGCCUUCCUGAGUUUGACAACGCCCCUUUGAAGAAGCGCCGGAGCUGGCGUCCACGGAGCCCCCUGGAGGAAGACGAUCGGGACAUUCUUUAUCUGAUUAGCCGGAUAAGCUCUUUAGUUCGAUCCGGAUUGACCAUGAUCGAGGUCAUGGCUAUAUGCAUUAUGCGGGGGGUGCAGCCGCUCCAGUAUAGAGGCCACCCCAUGUGGGAUUUCAACGGGGAGGAUGACGCCACCCGCCACGGCCGCAAAGGGCCGGGAUUGGCUGAUGAUCUAAUAAAGAUCUUGUCCACUUUGUACAAGGGAGAAGAGGAGGAAUUCCUCUGUGUCAACCCGCAGGGCGGAUUCUCUAUGUACAAUCCUCCGGGCUGGGUAAGCGGAGACUUUUUCUCGCCCAUCCGUUUCGUAUUCCCGUAGUUUAAGUAUUCAUUCUGGCGAUUUCAUCGCAGGAGCUGCGCCAGGCAGUAAAGGAGAUAAACAGCCCUCCUCCACAGCCCGAGGACCCUAGACGGUCCCUUGACCCGGCCUCCCAGGAGGAUCCGGACAUAUCCGUGGAGCUGAUCGACGGGUUUUUUUUACCAAGGGAGUAAUGGCAAUACCUUGGUGGCCAUCACGGCCGAUUACCCUGGGCUAGUUCCAGCCUCACAGGUGACUGAGACCAAAGUCCCAACACUUAAAAAGGGAUCCGUCCUUGUGCUCUCUUUUUUUAUUGCCGUAUAACAGCUGUGUCUUACAGGGGAGGUCCUCGGGGCAGAAGGCCGAGCCUGUGGCAACUAGCCAACAAGGGGCCGCUAGGCCAGGCAGGCUGAAAAGAUCCGCAGUCCGGAUUGAGGCACCGGGGCAACGGUAUGGCAUGCCGUCUUUAUUGCAAGACAUUAUUUACAGAGGCAUGUUAACGCCUAUGCCUUCUUUUCAGGAAAAAAGCGCUCGCCGGACUAUGCCCGGAGAGGCUACCAAUCGCGCCUCCACAAGCCAGGCUCCAAGGCCGGACUCAGAGGUGGGAACGAGUACAAGGCAUGUGCCAGGUGCUCCUCCGACAGAGGAUACGGAUAGACUGUCCGCCACCCAUUCCGAGGUGGAAAGUGCCAUGAACCACAGGCGUCGCCGGACUGUUCUUCGUGACGCUUGUUUCUCCCAAUAGGCAUUGGAUGCCUUCAACUCGGGAGAUGCGCACCUCCGUGCCGCUCAAAAUGGUCUAGCCAGAGCCACGGAGCAGUAUGUAAAAGACAUACGGGUGAGAAAAUUUGAUGAUUAUAUAUAUCAGUAGCCCCUGAGACUUGAAACAGUUAGGAUAACUGAUUUAAGGAUCAUUUGUUAUGUAGGUUCUUACAGAAAAGAAUACUCAACUAUCCCAGGAGCUGGAAGAGUGCAAAGCCCAACUCCAGGCCGCACUGGCCGCAGCAGGGGAGCCCAAAGAGACCCCCUCUGGUAACAUAUCCGUCAAAUGAUAAGUAUCAUAUUAGAGUGCGGCUUUAUAUGCAGAUCUGAUGAUAAAAUUGCAGAUGACGCCGAAGUGAAUCCGGAUAAGCAACAGCUCAUAUGCCAGCUGAAGGCCGAUGAGAGCGUGCUUACAAGGGUGAGGCAGGAGAAGAAUGAUCUCCAAGAUGCCAACACCAAGCUGGACGUGGAACUAAAAGAUGUUCGUUCCCAACUGUUGGACUUUGUUAAGGAGAAUCGGCGGCUUCGACGCGGCAUAUUUAGUAAGUGCUUGAACGAACUUUGAAAAAGAGUUCGGCGAGGAAGCUGGCUGACAGGGUUAUGUCUGUAGGUAUGCUAACAGGUCGUCCUGCUAAGGAGAUGCCUAGUUCAAUGGGUGAUCUUCUUCUCGAGCUCGCACAGUUGCACGAACGAGUUCGGUAGGUGAUGCAAGGCGUUGCCCAGGCCUUGUGGCCGUCCAUCUCCAUACCCGAAGGCCUUGGAGAGCUUGCAGAAAAGCUGAAGGGAGCACGACGGUGUUUCCAAUUAUGGAAGAUAUCGGCCUACCGUCAGGGCGCCAGGGAAGCUUGGUCAAUGGUGAAGACAUGGUACACGAAGGCUGACCCGAACCACAUGGCCGAAGUCGGACCUGUGGGGCCUGAUGGCAAGGAGAUCCCUGUGAAUUUAGUGUACAGCCAAGUAGAAUUGGCCGCAAAGUAUUCCCAACAAUACUGUAGACUAGACAUCCUAUUGGAGGGCAUUGAAGAGGAAUUCAACCAGUCAAGUUGACUAUGUAAUUUUAAAGUGACAUAUAUGAUGUCUUCUAGCCGGACUGUAGAUCGUUUGUCGUGGCGGACCUUUUCGCUUCAACCUCGGGACCCGACAGUCCGGAGUGUAUCCGAAUACCCUCUCGGUUAUAUAAGAACCGGGGCAUGCAUGGAGACCAGGCGUAGGGGUCAUUAGUGCUUUAUCAGACAAGUGCCCAACUAGUUAUGUUAUAUUACAUGGGUAGUAAGAAACAUCUUCCAGAGAGAAUAGUUCCGUUAAGGGUUCCUUUCCCUGGGUAGGCAUGCCCUAGAGUGCAUGUCCGGACUGCGAUAAGAAGCGCAGUGAAAACGUCUGGGGCAGAUAUGGAUAAUAGAUAAAAGCCAUCUUUUGUUCACCGAUCGAAUAUUCUCUUAAGAAUGCUAGCUUUCGGCUUCACCCAGUCUGAGGCACAUGUCCGGCUGACCCGGCGGUAACAAUCGCAAAGGUGCUCCCCUUAUGCCCUUGCUGAAUUAACGGGAACGUAGGGCAUAAAUACAAGAGCCAGGCAACCCAGCUUGGCCAAAACUUAAGUCAUAUCGAUGCAUAUAAUGGUGAAAAAAGGUACAUGCGGAAGUAUAACACAUGUGUUGGGCGUGGGGCCCAGGUAAAUAAUUUAAGCUUCUGUGAGAGAAGCCCCUAGGUAUGAAGAGUGCGGCUAGCGCAUCUAUGAUGUAUGAGUGAGGCACAAGGUGAUCCUUGAAGGCCUAGGGAAAUAAAAAGAAAGAAAGGGAAACAAGACAGAUGAUGCAUAUGCAGAAAAUGGACGAAGGGAGGGGACUAACAUAAAGUCCGGAGCUAGGCGUAGAAUCUUUGGAGCCUGGCUGCGUUCCAUGGGUUUGGCUCGAGUCGACUGGUCGAUGCAUCCCGCAGUCGGUACGCUCCACCGGUCAGAACUUGGUCCAUAAUGAAGGGACCUUCCCAUUUGGGCUUGAGCUUGUUCUUUUUCUUAUCCGGCAGCCGUAGAACUAGUUCGCCAACGUUAUAAGUUUUGGCCCAUACUUCUCUCCUUUGGUAUCUGCGAGCCUGUUGCUGGUAAAAUGCGGAACUAGCUUUGGGUACGUCGUGCUCUUCCUCCAAUGUGUCCAGACCGUCCUGCCGAUCGAGCUCAGCUUCUCUUUCUUCAUACAUGCGCACUUGAGGUGAGUCAUGAAUUAUGUCAUAGGGCAGGACUGCCUCUGCGCCGUACACCAUAAAAAUGGUGUAUAUCCGGUACUACGAUUCGGCGUGGUCCGCAGUCCCUAGAGUACGGAGUCGAGCUCCUCUACCCAGUGAGUAUCGGACUCCGUUAAGGAGCGCACUAAUCGGGGUUUAAUGCCGCUCAUUAUAAGACCAUUUGCUCGUUCGACUUGACAGUUGGUUUGUGGGUGAUAGACUGAAGCGUAAUCGAGCUUGAUGCCCAUUUUGCUGCACCAGAGUUUUACCUCGUCAGCUGUGAAGUUCGUGCCGUUAUCAGUGAUGAUGCUAUGGGGACGCCGUAACGGUGUACAACCCCGGAUAUGAAAUCUAUCACCGGUCCGGAUUCGGCUGUUUUUACCGGUUUAGCCUCUAUCCAUUUGGUGAAUUUAUCCACCAUGACCAAUAAGUAUUUUUUCUUGUGGGUUCCCCCUUUAAGGGGUCCAACCAUGUCAAGCCCCCAGACUGCGAAGGGCCAUGUAAUGGGGAUCAUUUGGAGGGCGGUGGGUGGCAUGCGGCUUUGAUUUGCAAAGAGCUGGCAACCGGUGCAACGUUGGACCAAGUCCUGUGCAUCUGCCCGGGCCGUUGGCCAAUAAAAUCCUGUGCGGAAGGCCUUGCUUACAAGAGCCCGGGCUGCGGCGUGAUGGCCGCCGAGUCCGGCGUGAAUUUCUGCCAAAAGAUUCUGCCCUUCCUCUUCGGAGAUGCACCUUUGAAGGACUCCGGUAGCGCUUUUUUGUACAAUUCUCCCUCGUGGACCCUGUAGGCUUUGGAUCGCCGCACUAUGCAGCGUGCCUCAUUUUGGUCCUCCGGAAGUUCCCGUCUAAUUAGGUAGGCCAGGAAUGGUUCUGUCCAUGGGGCAAUAAUGGCCAUUAUUUCGUGGGCUGAUUGUGUUAUUUCGGUGGCAGAGCCUCCGAUUGUGCCAGAGAGUUCGGUAUCAGGUAUUUUGGCCGGGUCCGGACUGUUGUUAUCGGUGUCUCCUUCCCAUGCUACGAAUGGCUUGAAAAGCCUUUCCAGAAAAACGUUGGGAGGGACUGCGUCGCGUUUUGCGCCAAUGCGGGCGAGGAUAUCCGCCGCCUGAUUGUUUUCCCGAGCCACAUGGUGAAAUUCGAGCCCCUCGAACCGAGCUGACAUUUUUAGGACAACAUUGCGAUAGGCGGCCAUUUUUGGAUCCUUGGCAUCAAAGUCUCCAUUUAUUUGGGAUAUCGCGAGGUUUGAAUCCCCGCGCACCUCAGGCGUUGAAUGCCCAUGGAUACUGCCAUCCGAAGACCAUGUAGGAGGGCCUCAUAUUUGGCUGCGUUGUUGGAGUCCGUAUACAUUAUCUGCAGUACGUAUUGAACGGUGUCUCCCAUUGGGGAUGUCAAAACGACGCCGGCCCCCAGACCAGCCAACAUUUUGGAGCUGUCGAAGUGCAUGAUCCAGUUUGAAUAUGUGCCGUACUCUUUAGGGAGUUCGGCUUCCGUCCAUUCAGCGAUGAAGUCAGCCAAAACUUGCGAUUUAAUAGCUCGCCGUGGCUUGUAAGUUAUGUCGAACGGGAGGAGCUCAAUGGCCCAUUUGGCAAUCUGGACCGUCGCGUCGCGGUUGUUUAUAAUAUCGUUAAGUGGUACUUCCGAGGCUAUCGUUAUCGAACACUCUUGAAAGUAGUGUCGCAGCUUCCGGGAUGCCAUGAAUACCGCGUACGCUAUCUUUUGAUAAUGCGGGUACCGUGAUUUGCAUGGAGUAAGGACAGUGGACACAUAGUAAACCGGCUUUUGAAGGGGGGAUUUGUGUCCGUCCACUUCUCGCUCGACGACAAGCACUGCGCUUACUACUUGAUGAGUUGCCGCAAUGUAUAAUAGCAUUGGUUCGCCAAUGUUUGGCGCGACCAGGACUAGGUUUGUUGCCAAUAUGGCCUUUAUUUCGUUGAGUUCGGCCAUGGCGGCAUCUGUCCACUCGAAGUGUUCGGUGCGCCGGAGGAGGCGAUAAAUGGGUAAUGCCUUUUCUCCCAAGCGGGAGAUAAAGCGGCUUAGAGCCGCCACACAUCCAGUUAAUUUUUGUAUUUGUUUGAGGUCUGUUGGGGUAGCCAACUGUGACAAGGCUCGAAUUUUGGCCGGAUUAGCUUCAGUACCUCUACUGAAGACAAUGAAUCCCAGGAGCUUUCCUGCUGGUAUGCCGAAAAUACAUUUUUCUGGAUUGAGCUUGAUGUCAUAUGUUCGGAGGUUGUCGAAUGUGAGCCUCAAGUCGUCUACUAGAGUUUCGACAUGCUUGGUUUUAACGACCAUGUCAUCCACGUAUGCCUCCACUGUUUUGCCGAUCUGGUUUGCCAGGCAUGUCUGAAUCAUGCGCUAAUAUGUUGCACCAGCGUUCUUUAGCCCAAAGGGCAUUGUGUUGAAGCAGAAUGGGCCGUAUGGUGUGAUGAAUGCCGUUGCGGCUUGGUAUGGCUCUGCCAUUUUGAUUUGAUGGUAGCCGGAGUAUGCAUCGAGGAAACACAAUGAAUCGUGUCCUGCGGUAGCAUCGAUGAUUUGAUUGAUGCGGGGGAGGGGGAAGGGAUCCUUUGGGCAGGCCUUGUUAAGGUCCUUAAAAUCGACGCACAAGCGCCAGGAUUUGUCCUUCUUUGGUACCAUCACCAGGUUUGCUAGCCAGUCCGGAUGUUUUAUGUCUCUGAUGAAUCCGGCCUCCAAUAGCUUGGCUAGUUCCUCUCCCAUGGCUUGUCUUUUAGGCUCAAAGAAACGUCGAAGAGCCUGCUUGAAUGGCUUGAAUCCUUUUAGGAUAUUUAGGCUGUGUUCAGCCAGCCUGCGUGGGAUUCCUGGCAUGUUUGAAGGGUGCCAGGCAAAAAUGUCCCAGUUCUCGCGCAGGAACUCUUGCAGUGCGGCAUCGACAUCAGGGUUUAAUUGCGCCCCGAUGGAAGCUAUUUUUGUAGGGUCCGUUGGAUGGACUUGGAAUUUGACUAUUUUGUCUGCCGGCUUAAAGGAGGAGGACUUGGAUCUUUUAUCGAGUAUCACGUCGUCCCUGUUCAUCGUGGAGCGCAGCGCAGUUAGUUCUUUGGCCGCUAGGGCUUCGGAUAGUGCCUCAAGGGCCAGUGCAGCUGUCUUAUUUUCGGCGCGGAGUGCUAUGUCUGGAUCACUAACAAGAGUGAUGAUUCCGUUGGGCCUGGGCAUUUUGAGCUUCAUGUACCCGUAAUGGGGUAUGGCUUGGAAGAUUGUAAAUGCCUCCCACCCUAAUAGAGCGUGGUAUCCGCUGCUGAACGGGGCCACUUGGAAUGUAAUUUCUUCGGACCUGUAAUUAUCCGGCGUGCCGAAUACCACGUCUAGUGUGAUUUUUCCAGCGCAGCGUGCUUCCCGACUAGGGAUGAUUCCUCUAAAGGUUGUGCUGCUUUGCUUAAUGCGGCUCCAGUCUAUUUCCAUCUUUUGAAGAGUUUCCUCAUAGAUGAGGUUUAAUCCGCUGCCGCCAUCCAUGAGUACCUUGGUGAGUCAAAAGCCGUCCACAAUUGGACUGAGGACCAGUGCGGCUGGUACUCGGGCCGUUCGGAAUUUAGGUUCGUCACUGGCAUUGAAGGUAAUAGCCGUGUCGCUCCAAGGAUUUGUUUCUGCUAUGUGGCAGAUUUUGGACGUGCUGCGGAGUGUUCGCUUCCGUCUAUUAUUUGACGCGAAGGUCUCAAAGAUCGUUAAGACCGUAUUGUUGUCCUCGGGGUGGUGCUCUGUGGUUUUUGGGAGGAGUAGAUCCUCACCACUUUUGGCCACCUGCCUGAGUAUCCAGCAUGCUCUAAGGCUGUGCGUUGGUAUCACAUCCACUGUACUAUGAAUUUUGCAGGGUCCAUUGAGCCAUCCCUCCAGUACGGUUCCUUGCCCCUUAGAGGGCUUUUGCUUUUUGGUAGUUAACCUAGGUGUAUUGUGAUAAUGCACCCUUUUAUUUCGGACUGGGUUUGUAUUUAGGGCCGGAUUAUCCCAAAAUUUUAUUUCGGUUUUCCAGGCGCUUUCCAUCACACAGUACUUUCAUACUAUGGACACCAAGUCGGCAAAGCGUGUAAUUUUGCGAUGACUUAUGGCAUUGAGGAUUCCCUUAUCUGUGCAAUUAUUGCAGAAGAACGAAAUUGUGUCUUCCUCGCGGCAGUCCUUUAUCCCGUUCUUGACCAGGAGGAAUCUGGCCCAAUAAUGGUGUACUGUUUCUUCGGGGUCUUGCCUAAUUUGGGAUAGAUCGCGUAUGUUUGGGUGGGUGGGUGGAAUUGAAUCCGAAUCCUCACCCAAUCUGAGGCUCAGUGGCCAAGGAGUUUCCGAACUCGAAAGUUUGGAUUCUUGGAUGUUUUCCGGUAAAUCUAGUCCGCUGCCUGAUUCUGGGUUCAGGAUUUGAGUGACAUCCUCCCCUCCGCGGGUAUCCAGCUUGGAGGGAUCGGGAAUCCGGACGUAGCUAGUCCUUAAGAUGGAUGAAGGGUUGCCGCAUUGUUCUUCCACCACUGCAGCGUGAUGGGUGACCUGGGGAGAGUUAAUUUCUCUCAGAUCGGGUUUAGGCCCAACCCGAUCGUAGUUUGUAGCGACUCCCAGGGUAGCGAUGCGAUCCAAGAGCUCGUUCAGGGAAGAGAGCUCCAUUGGAUCUAACUGCUCGACGAGUUCCGAGUUAACGUGAAGAUUGCUUUUGAUGACCCGAGAAGUCAUCGUCGGCGCAGCGGCCGAACAGGCGGUCAUAAGAAAACCGCCUAGCUGGAGAGUUCGGCCGAUAGCCAGAGCUCCCUCAGCGAUAGUGCCGUCUUUAAAGACGGGACGAGACAUCCUUCCUGGUGGCGACGACACAACGGAACUCUCAAUGAAAGCACCAAUGUCGGUGUCAAAACCGGCGGAUCUCGUGUAGGGGGUCCCGAACUGUGUGUCUAGGCCAGAUGGUAACAGGAGGCAAGGGACACGAAGUUUUACGCAGGUUCGGGCCCUCUUGAUGGAGGUAAAACACUACGUCCUGCUUGAUUAAUAUUGAUGAUAUGGGUGUUACAAGAGUAGAUCUACCACGAGAUCAGAGAGGCUAAACCCUAGAAGCUAGCCUAUGGUAUGAUUGUAUGUUAUGAUUGUCUUUCUAUGGACUAAAAUCCUUCGGUUUAUAUAGACACCGGAGAGGGUUAGGGUUACACAAGGUCAGUUACAAAGGAGGAGAUAUCCAUAUACGUAUUGCCUAGCUUGCCUUCCACGCCAAGUAGAGUCCCAUCCGGACACAAGACGAAGUCUUCAAUCUUGUAUCUUCAUAGUCUAACAGUCUGGCCAAUGGAGAUAGUCCGGUUGUCCGGAGACCCCUAAUCCAGGACUCCCUCAACCCCGCUACCACGGGAGGGUAGGACAAAUGAUGUCAUGAAAGUUCUUUUCCAUAAGCACGUAUGACUAUAUUCGGAAUACAUGCCUACAUUACAUUGAUGAAUUGGACCUAGUUCUAUGUCUGCCUAGGUUAUGACUGUUACAUGAGGAACCGCAUCCGGCAUAAUUCUUCAUCACUGAUCCAUUGCCUACGAGCUUUCCAUAUAUUGUUCUUUGCUUAUUUACUUUUCCGUUGUUAUUGCUAUCAUCACUACAAAAUACCAAAAACAUCACUUUUGCUACCGUUACCUUUUGCUACCUUUACCACUACUAUCAUAUUACUUUGCUACUAAAUACUUUGCUGCAGAUAUUAAGUUUCCAGGUGUGGUUGAAUUGACAACUCAGCUGCUAAUACUUGAGAAUAUUCUUUGGCUCCCCUUGUGUUGAAUCAAUAAAUUUAGGUUGAAUACCUUACCCUCGAAAACUGUUGCGAUCCCCUAUACUUGUGGGUUAUCAAGACUAUUUUCUGGCGCCGUUGCCGGGGAGCAUAGCUCUAUUCUUUGAGUCACUUGGGAUUUAUACCUUCUUAUCAUUAUGAAGAACUUGAGAGAUCCAAAAACCAAGAUUUAUCCCUCAACUACGAGGGGAGGUAAGGAACUGCCAUCUAGCUCUGCACUUGAUUCACCUUCUGUUUUGAGUAAGAUUGCGACACCUAAACCUGCUUCUGCUAUUCGUUCUGAUAUGUCGCAUAUUAUUGAUGAUGCCACUUCUUCUAUGCAUGAUACUUAUGAUGAAACUACUUCUAUGCUUGAUACUACUGUGCCACUUGGUGAAUUUCUUGAUGAACAACUUGCUAGGGUUAGAGAGAGUGAAAAUAUUGAAUCUGAUAAUAUUGAUGAAAGUGAUGAUGAAGACUCUCCCUCUAAUGAAUAUGAAUCACCUGUUAUUCCUGAGAGUUAUGUUUUUGAAAAAUAAGCUGCUUUAGCUAUUUUAUCUUGCAAAGAUAGAUUCGAGCUCAAGAGGUUAUUAGCUAAAUGGAAGCAGCAAUCUCUUAAUGCUAGAAUGAAACCUGACCCUGCUUUUGCUACUUCACAUAUCUGUGUUACUGAUAAGGAAUAUGAAUUUUCUGUUGAUCCUGAUAUAAUUACUUUGCUUGAAUCUGAUCCUUUUCAUGGCUAUGAAUCUGAAACUGUUGUGGCACAUCUUACUAAAUUAAAUGAUAUAGUCACCCUAUUCACUAAUGAUGAGAGAACUCGCUACUUUUAUAUCCUUAAAAUAUUUCCGUUCUCAUUAAAGGGUGAUGCUAAGAUAUGGUUUAAUUCUCUUGAUCCUAGUUGUGUGCGUAGUCCCCAGGAUAUGAUUUAUUACUUCUCUGCUAAAUAUUUCCCUGCUCAUAAGAAACAAGCUGCUUUGAGGGAUAUAUAUAAUUUUGUGCAAAUUGAAGAAGAGAGUCUCCCACAAGCUUGGGGGAGGCUUCUCAAGUUACUUAAUGCUUUGCCUGAUCAUCCUCUUAAGAAAAAUGAAAUACUUGAUAUCUUUUAUAAUGGACUAACCGAUGCUUCCAGAGAUUACCUGGAUAGUUGUGCUGGUUCUGUUUUCAGGGAAAGAACACCGGAUGAAGCUGAAAUUCUAUUGAAUAAUAUGUUGACAAAUGAAAAUAAUUGGACACUUCCUGAGCCUAUUCCUAAACCAACUCCGAAGAAAAGAGGUGUUCUAUUUCUCAUUCCUGAAGAUAUGCAAGAGGCAAAGAAAUCUAUGAAAGAAAAGGGUACUAAAGCUGAAGAUGUUAAGAAUUUACCUCCUAUUGAAGAAAUACAUGGUCUUAAUUUACCGCGUGUUGAAGAAACAUAUGAUCUUAAUCCAUUACCUAUUGAAGAAACUCAUGGUCUUGAUAACCCGACACAGGUAGUAAAGGUAAAUUCUGUUUAUAGAUAUGAUAAAGCUGAAAUCCCAUUUACUAAGUUUGCUAGCCCAUGCUUAGAUGAGUUUGAUAAAUUUAUGGUUAAGCAAGAAGACUUCAAUUCUUUUUUGGUAGACAAUUGAAAUACAAUUCAAAUAUGCUUGAACACUUGGGUGAUUAUAUGGCUAAUGUUAAAGGUGAACUUAAACUUAUUAGUAAACAUGCUUCUAUGGUUACCACUCAAGUAGAACGAGUACUUAAAGCUCAAAAUGAUUUGCUCAAUGAAUUGAAUAGUAAGAAUAAUGAUUAUGCUGUUAGAGUGGCUACUAGAACUGGUAGAAUGACUCAGGAACCUCUGUAUACCGAAGGCCAUCCUAAGAGAAUUGAGCAAGAUUCUCAGAGAAAUAAUAUAGAUGCACCUAGUCCGUCUAAAAGGAAGAAAAAGAAAAAUGAUAGGACUUUGCAUGCUUCUAGUGAACCUGUUGCUCAACCACAUGAGAAUCCAAAUGAUAUUUCUAUUUUUGAUGCUGAAACACAAUCCGGUAAUGAACCUGAAACUAAUGAUAAUGUUCAUGAUGAUGCUCAACCUAGUAAUGAUAAUGAUAUAGAAAUUGAACCUGCUGUUGAUCUUGAUAACCCACAAUCAAAGAAUCAACGUUAUGAUAAUAAAGACUUUGUUGCUAGGAAACAUGGUAAAGAAAGAGAACCAUGGGUUCAGAAACCCAUGACUUUUCCUCCCAAACCAUCCAAGAAAAAGGAUGAUGAGGAUUUUGAGUGCUUUGCUGAAAUGAUUAGACCUAUCUUUUUGCGUAUGCAAUUAACUGAUAUGCUCAAAAUGAAUCCUUAUGCUAAGUAUAUGAAAGAAAUUGUUACAAAUAAGAGAAAGAUAUCGGAAGAUGAAAUUUCCACCAUGCUUGCUAAUUAUACUUUUAAGGGUGGAAUACCAAAGAAACUUGGAGAUCCAGGAGUACCCACUAUACCAUGCUCCAUUAAAAGAAACUAUGUUAAAACUGCUUUAUGUGAUCUUGAAGCCGGUGUUAGUGUUAUGCCUCUCUCUUUAUAUCGUAGACUUGAUUUGAAUAAGUUGACACCUACUGAAAUAUCUUUGCAAAUGGCCGAUAAAUCAACUGCUAUACCUGUCGGUAUUUGUGAGGAUGUGCCUGUUGUAGUUGCAAACGUUACUAUUUUAACGGACUUUGUUAUUCUUGAUAUCCUCGAGGACGAUAGUAUGUCUAUUAUUCUUGGAAGAUCCUUUUUGAAUACUGCAGGGGUUGUUAUUGAUUGCACUAAAGGCAAUGUCACUUUUCAUGGUAAUGGUAAUGAGCAUACGGUACACUUUCCGAGGAAACAACCUCAAGUUCAUAGUAUCAACUCUAUUGGAAAAAUUCCAUCGAUUAUAUUUGGAGGUUUUGAAUUUCCUCUUCCUAUUGUUAAGAAAAAAUAUGAUAUUCUUAUUAUUUGGGAUGUGGAUAUCCUCGUUGAGGUAACAUAGUGUUAUUCGAAAUUUCUCCGGUUCCAUGUUAUUCGGAAUGAGUUCGUUAACAAGACUUGAUCAACCUUGUUAGUGGAUUCCUUUUGAUGAGCAUGAGAUGGAUGAAACUAGAAGGCACAACCUUCUGUACCCUCCUUUUACUUUCUGUUAUUUAUAUUAAAUAAAAUAAAAAUAGUAUUUUUCUGUCUGUUAUCUGAAUUAUCUGUGCAAUAUAAAAAUACCUCGAAAAUAAAAGUUCUCCAAAUGCCCUGAAAUUUAAAUAUGAUUUUUUCUGGAAUAUUUGAGAAUAUUUGGCACCAAGAACACAACACGGGGGGCAUCCACCUGGCCACGAGGGUGGAGGGUGCGCCCCCUGCCUCGUGGGCCCAUGGUGGCCCUCCUCCACUUAUUCCUGCACCCACACACUCCUUCUUCCUCCCACAAACACGAAUAUCCAGCUCAAACCCGAGUCCAAGCUCAUUUUGCUGCCAUUUUCGAUCUCCUUGCUCAAAGCACCUCUCACAAAACUGCCUGGGGAGAUUGUUCCUUGGUAUGUGACUCCUCCAUUGGCCCAAUUAGUUUUUGUUCUGGUGCUUUAAUCAUUGCAAAUUUGUGUUGCUUAGGUGACCAUGUUCUUGAGCUUGCAUGUCAAAUUUAUAUGGUCAAAAGUAGUUCUAAUGCAUGAUAUAGGCUUUAGGCACUUGUAGGAGUUGUUGCUAUCAAUUUUGUUGAGCUUGGCUCACUUUUAUUUGAAGUUACUAAAAAUUUCAGAAAUUUUUCAUAGGAAGAAAUAUGUUUAGGAAAAUGUACCAAGGUGGCUCUUCAAGGAAACAAGAGCCCAGGCUUGCAAUGCGUGAUGCUGAUGAUGAGCCACCAAGAGACACUCCAGUGCGUCCUUGUGAAUGGCCUUCGGAAAACUUUAUGGAUCGAGCAGGAAUUAAGGAAGAAUUUAACGCAUAUUUGCGUAAUGCUGAUCUUGUGAGCUUCGAUGAAGAAAAGUGCCGCCAGUAUCACUAUCUCACUAGUUCCCUUGUGAGGAGGUUUGAAUUUUCAUCUUCACGUAAUUCUCCAACUGUCCUGUUUGAUCUUUAUGAAAAUUCUUACACUAUGGACUUAGAGGAUUUUACCACUGCUUGCAAACUUCCACAAUGGGGUAGUGUCAGGGAACCUCGCAAAUCUGAAUUUAGAGAUUUUUUUGCUUGUAUAACUGUGGGGGAAUCUAGAGAUAUAACACAAGCUACCAUAGGGAGCAUUCAUUUUCUUGCUAUACAUUAUUUUGCUCUCUUCAUAGGUAGAUGCAUUAAUGGUAAAGAUGAGGCAUGUCACAUGUGUGUCCCUGACCUCAGUAUUCUUAGGAGUCCUGUGUUAGGAGAUAAAUCUUAUAAUUUGGGAGCCAUUGUUGCACGUAGGUUGCAUCUUAAUAGAUUUAACGGAGAUUUCUUUGGUGGAAUUUAUGCAACCUACAUAGCUAAUUUUCUUGGUAUAGCCAUACGUGAAGAUGAUAUUGAGUUGCCUCCCCCUUAUUUGGAUUAUGAGGCUAUGGUUCACCAGCAGUUUGUCGAGAGGAAUGAAUCACCUCUCCAGUAUCGCUUAAUCUUUGACAGAUGCCAUGAUGUCUGUAUUACUCUCCCUGCUCCUGCCUUCUUUGAUUAUCAUGCAAAAGGAAGAUAUGUUAUUACCAGAGAGGAGGCAGAUGAGUACAAGAGGAGGGCGGAGGCCGCUCGUCUCCACGCUGCAGCUCAGGAGGCGAUAGCCGCUGCAUCUCAGUACGACCCAAACUAUGAUUAUGGAUAUCCGUCAGGCCAGCCGUGGCCAUAGACCAACUUAGGCCAAAAGCCUAAGCUUGGGGGAGUACGUAUUUCCCACCGACAUUACAUUCAUGCUCACACACUCAUUGCUAGAUGUCGGUGCUCAUACUUUUUCAUUGUAUCAUCCAUGAUAGUUUAUUUCCCUUUUUAUGCUUUCUUGUGUGCUUAAUAAACCUUAAGAAAAACCAAAAAAAUUAGUCAUAGCUUUUAAUUAGUUUACUUUCCAUGCUUGUAAUAGUAAUUAAAAAGAAAACCCAAAAAGAUUUCCUGUUCUUCUUUUACUUGUUGGGAGCUUUCCCGUGUAAAUAGUUUUAUUUCUUUUCUUUUCUUUGGGGGUCGAUAGGAGAAGACCAUGAUUAAAUUGUUGAAGUAGCUCUUAUAUGCAUUAUUGUUGAUCUGACAAAAGAGCCCAUAUUGCCUUGUCUUCUCCUGUUUAUUGAAUGCUUGCAGAUUCCAGCUUAGUCCAAUGCACGUGCACUAUUAUUAUUACCCACAUCGUUCGGUCGUGCAAGUGAAAGGCAAUUAUGACGAUAUAUGAUGGACUACUGAGAUGAGAAAAGCUGGUAUGAACUCGACCUCUCUUGUUUUUGUAAAUAUGAUUAGUUCAUCGUUCCUGAUUCAGCCUAUUAUGAAUAAACAUGUUUGCAAUGACAACUAGAGAUCAUAGUUUCUUGUGCCAUGCUUGAUUAGCGAGGAGCUUAUAAUGGUUUACCUUGCGUGCCAACAUGCUAUUAAAAUGGUUGUGAUGUGGUAUGAUAGGGUGGUAUCCUCCUCUGAAUGAUUUAAGUGACUUUACUUGGCACAUGUUCACGCAUGUAGUUGGAACAAAAUCAACAUAGCCUUCACGAUAUUUAUGUUCAUGGUGGAUUAUAUCCUACUCAUGCUUGCAUUCGGUGUUGAUUAAUUUUAAUGCAUGUUCAUGACUGUUUUCGCUCUCUAGCUGGUCGCUUCCCAGUCUUUUGCUAGCCUUCACCUGUACUAAGCGGGAAUACUGCUUGUGCAUCCAACUCCAUAAACCCCAAAGUUAUGCCAUAUGAGUCCACCAUACCUACCUAUAUAUGGUAUCUACCCGCCGUUCCAAGUAAAUUUGUAUGUGCCAAACUCUAAACCUUCAAAUAAAUAUCCUGUUUUGUAUGCUCGAAUAGCUCAUGUAUCAACUAGGGCUGUCAGUAUCUUCCAUGUUAGGCGGGUUAUUCUCAAGAGGAGUGGACUCCGCUCCUCACUCACAAGAAAAUAUCUGGUCACUGGGAUGCCCAGUCCCAUGCUUUAUGCGAACUAAAUCAAAAUAAUUGGAAACAAAACUCCCCCUGGGACUCUUGUUAGUUGGAGGCACUUGUUGUUUCGAGCAAGCCAUGGAUUGAUGCUUGUUGGUGGAGGGGGAGUAUAAACUUUACCAUUCUGUUUGGGAACCGCCUAUAAUGUGUGUAGCAUGGAAGAUAUCACCAUCUCUUGGUUGUUAUGUUGACAAUGAAAGUAUACCGCUCAAAAUAUUAUUCACCUCUAUUUCAAAACCGAGCUUUGGCACCUCUAUGAAUCCCUGCUUCCCUCUGCGAAGGGCCUAUCUAUUUACUUUUAUGUUGAGUCAUCAUCCUCUUAUUAAAAAGCACCAGUUGGAGAGCACCGCUGUCUUUUGCAUUCAUUACUGUUAGUUUACAUUGAGUAUGACUUGACUGGAUCUCCUUUACCAUGAAUUACAAUGUCUAGUCAGUCCUUGAUUUUUAAAGGUGCUCUGCAUUUAUGUUUUGCGGUCUCAGAAAGGGCUAGCUAGAUACCAUCUUGUUAUAUCAUAUUAUGAUUGUUUUGAGAAAGUGUUGUCAUCUGAGAUUUAUUAUUAUUGCUCGCUAGUUGAUUAUGCCAUUGAUAUGAGUAAACAUGCGACCUAUGCGUUAUUGUGAAUAUGUUUAGUUCAUAAUCUUUGCUAAAAACUUGAAUGCUGGCUUUACAUAUUUACAACAACAAGAGCAAACAGAGUUUGUAAAAGUUUUUCUUUAUCACUUUCAGUUUGUCAACUGAAUUGCUUGAGGACAAGCAAAGGUUUAAGCUUGGGGGAGUUGAUACGUCUCCGUCGUAUCUACUUUUCCAAACACUUUUGCCCUUGUUUUGGACUCUAACUUGCAUGAUUUGAAUAGAACUAACCCGGACUGACGCUGUUUUCAGCACAAUUACAAUGGUGUUAUUUAUGUGCAGAAACAAAAGUUCUCGGAAUGACCUGAAACUUCACGGAACAUCUUUUUGGAUAUAAUAAAAAAUCCUUGCAAAAGAUGAAGACCAGGGGGCCCACACCCUAGCCACGAGGGUGGGGGCGCGCCCCUACCUCGUGGGCCCCCUGGAGCUCCUCCGACCUCGACUCCAACUCUAUAUAUUUGCUUUCAGGGAGAAAAAAAUAAGGAAGAAGGAUUCAUCGCGUUUUAUGAUACGGAGCCGCCGCCAAGCCCUAAAACCUCUUGGGAGGGCUGAUCUGGAGUCUGUUCCGGGCUCCAGAGAGGGGAAUCCAUCGCCAUCGUCAUCAUCAACCUUCCUCCAUCACCAAUUUCAUGAUGCUCACCGCCGUGCGUGAGUAAUUCCAUCGUAGGCUUGCUGGACGGUGAUGGGUUGGAUGAGAUUUAUCAUGUAAUCGAGUUAGUUUUGUUAGGGUUUGAUCCCUAGUAUCCACUAUGUUCUGAGAUUGUUGUUGCUAUGACUUUGCUAUGAUUAAUGCUUGUCACUAGGGCCCGAGUGCCAUGAUUUCAGAUCUGAACCUAUUAUGUUUUCAUCAAUAUAUGAGAGUUCUUGAUCCUAUCUUGCAAGUCUACAGUCACCUAUUAUGUGUUAUGAUCCGUUAACCCCGAAGUGACAAUAAUCGGGAUACUUACCGGUGAUGACCGUAGUUUGAGGAGUUCAUGUAUUCACUAUGUGUUAAUGCUUUGGUCCGGUACUCUAUUAAAAGGAGGCCUUAAUAUCCCUUAGUUUCCGCUAGGACCCCGCUGCCACGGGAGGGUAGGACAAAAGAUGUCAUGCAAGUUCUUUUCCAUAAGCACGUAUGACUAUAUUCGGAAUACAUGCCUACAUUACAUUGAUGAACUAGAGCUAGUUCUGUGUCACCCUAGGUUAUGACUGUUACAUGAUGAACCACAUCCGGCAUAAUUCUCCAUCACUGAUCCAUUGCCUAUGAGCUUUCCAUAUAUUGUUCUUCGCUUAUUUACUUUUCUAUUGUUAUUGUUAUCAUCACUACAAAAUACCAAAAACAUUACUUUUGCUACCGUUACCACUACUAUCAUAUUACUUUGCUACUAAAUACUUUGCUAUAGAUAUUAAGUUUCCAGGUGUGGUUGAAUUGACAACUCAGCUGCUAAUACUUGAGAAUAUUCUUUGGCUCCCCUUGUGUCGAAUCAAUAAAUUUGGGUUGAAUACUUUACCCUCGAAAACUGUUGCGAUCCCCUAUACUUGUGGGUUAUCACUCUGCAGCUGGGACGAACUCUUCCUCAGACUCUGUCCAGUGUGCUUGGUGAUCCAUUCUGCCUCUGGGGUGACGUCCUCCUCUGACCCGCUGGAGAUGUUCUCGUCGAAGGUCCUGAAAAUCCGCUUGUCGCGGCGGGGAGUCUCCUUGGAAGCCACAUGGGUCUUGUACUGCCCCUUUGCCUUCAUGCAGAACAACAUCUUCAUCUUGUUCUUCAGUCUCUUAGCCCAAGAUGGCUCAGAAGUGGGAGGGGUGUAACCCUCAGAGCCAUCCUCAUCCGCUGCCUCCUCCUCAUGCUCAUCUGCACCCACGUCCAUGUUAGCCGCGGCAUCAGCACGAGAGGUAGUGUUUGCCCACUGAGUCUUGAUACGGAGGUUGAUGGGCUCAUGCCAGAUCCAACUAGGGGCCUCAAAAUCAUCCUGAGGGUAGAGCUGCUCCCAAGUUGCUGAGAUCAACUGAAACAGAUAAGGUCCAUAGAUGGGGACCUUGUGGUUGUAGACCACAAACUGAAGCUCAUUCCACAUGAUAUGUGAGACAUCAAGUGGUAGUGUCUGAGAGUUGCGAGCGUCUGCACACAGGAGCAUCAUAUCCACAAGAUAGGCAUGCACCUUGUCCUUGUCCCCAAUGCGUGGGAAGAGAGUGUUGCGGAAGAUCCGGUGCAUGAUGUCGAGAAAGGAAAUGAGUACCCAAGUUGUCUUAUUAUUGGAGAGCUUCUUCUCCACAUAGAAGGGCAAAAGCUUGUUCUUGUUUGCAGACUCGGAAUUGGCAUGAGGGCGAACACCUUGGGGUGUGGCGAGCCCCUCAUCCAGAACCCCAAGCAAAGUCAUGAAUUCCUUCCAAGUAGCAAUCAGCCGCCGACCAUUGGUCAUCCAAGUCAUGGUCCUGUCCUCAUUGGGAUGAAAAUGCACUGAGGCAAAGAACUGAGCAAUGAUCUCAGGAUCAAAGUCUUUGUGGAAUGAGAUGAUAUGCUCAAUGCCAAAUUGCUCCACGAGGUCUAAAGCCUCACCAAAGUAUUCUCGAUGCUUCUCUUGCCUCAUGUGAUGCAUGUUGAUCCACUUCACCUCCACAUAGGUGUUUUGCUUGGCCUUGAUGACAUCUAGAUAGAUGAGAUUCUGCUGCUUGGUCCAGAAUAGCUCAUUCCCUCGAAAGUUGGCACGAGGGUUUCCAUAUGGAUUGAUCUUCCUCCGAGCGAUGAACUCAGCAAGUGGUAUCUCAUCCAUACCCAUGGCAGGUUCCUUCUCUUUGGUGGCGGUGGUCUUGGUUCUGCGUUGGGGGGCAUUGGAGCCCUCUGCUGCCUCUGAGUUGCGCAUAGGCUUGGAUCCCAUGUUACGGCUUGGAUUGGAGCGGCGAGCCGGAGCACUUGAGCCACCACCUAAAACACACACCACAAAACAAACACGCACGAAACGCGAGAAGGAUCAAUGCAAAGACCACAAAAAAUGGGUGAAACAAGUAGACAUAGUACGUGAUAAGUGCCACAAGAGGGAUUUGAGACAACGGUAGUAGCCUGUGUUGCGCCACGUGUGGUAGUACCGCUCCGAGGAGCGGCAGUACCGGCGACGCGGUAGUACCGCACUAGCAGGGUGGUAGUACCGGACGCACGGUAGUACCACACCUGAAGAGCGGUAGUACUGCAUGGUUGCAGAUCCGUAAUGGCCAUGGAGAUCUGAGCACAACCGUGUCAACACGCGGUACUAUGGUCGAUCAAAUCCAUCACGGGACAACUAAAGCAAGUACCAUCACUACACAAAACCACUCUCCUAUACCCGACUCUUGCAAAGAUUUGGCCUAAAAUCUCACGAACAACUUGCAUCUCCCCAAGACCUAAAAACAACAAGACGAACAAGAAAAAGGAAGGGAUUGGGGAGAAACCUUGAUCCAUGGCAAGAGGGAGUGGUGGGGAAUGAUCCCACCGGUUGGAAUCCGAGGAGAGUGGCCGGAGAUGGAGAUCCGGCAAGGACCUCUGGCACCGUUCUUGAGUGAGAGAGAGAGACGGAGUGGGGAGAGAGACGAAUGGGUAUGGGGGAGUUAGAACUCCCCCUGCCCGUGUUUAACCCUCACACCCUUCGACUUUAGUACCGCUCCCCCAAGCGGCAUUAAUUUUUUUUGCCGUGCUGGGUGCGGAAGUACCGUGCACUCCUCACGCGGUAGUACCGCACGUCAUUGCGGUAGUACCGCCCGGGCGGAAGUACCGCACCGAGGCCGUAGUAUCGCUCCCCCAGGCGGCAGAAUUUUUUUUCUGCCGCGCUGGGUGCGGAAGUACCGCGCGCUCCCCUCGCGGUAGUACCGUGGCAGGCCGCAGUACCGUGAGCUCAAGAAAAAGCAGUUUCAACCAACCGAGAGAACAACGAAGCACUGAACCUUCAAGCGAAAGACCACACCAACGAGCUAAUACACAGGACACCACAAACACAAGCUCAGCACAAAGGAGGAGAAGCAAGAGACAACGCAGACCAAAACGAGACACAAACUCUCCAAGGAGAGGGCGGUGGCCGGAGCCACCUAUGUUUGAGUCAAUUGGUAUGGCACCGUGAAGAAUUAUCCUUGGGCCCAUGACCAAAACUCGUCUUUGAAGCACAAGAACCAUCAAAAUGGCUAAUGUGAAAGAGUUGAUCGUUUUAUGAAUAAUGGGGGAGGGAGAGUUUAUUGAGAGAACAACACUCCCCCUAUGUCCAUGCCUACACCUAGAUUAGACAAAACAAGUUGAGUGAGGUGGGGUGUGCAAGGGUUCAAGCAACAUUGCUCGAAUCAAUGAUAUUUAGCUCAUGCCUUAGCUCGCAAAAUCUUGCUUCAUCCAAAGGCUUCGUGAAAAUAUCUGCGAGGUUAUCAUGGGUGUUAACGUAGUUGAGCUCGAUCUCCCCUCACCUAAUGUGAUCCCGGAUGAAGUGAUACCGAAUCUCAAUAUGCUUCGUCUUGAAGUGUUGCACCGGGUUGAGAGAAAUCUUGAUGGCACUUUCAUUGUCACACCAAAGAGGCACUUUGUCACAAAUGACACCAUAAUCCUUUAAAGUUUGCCUCAUCCAUAAGAGUUGUGCACAACAACUACCGGCAGCCACAUACUCUACUUCCGUGGACGAGAGAGAUACGCAACUUUGCUUCUUGGAAGACCAACUCACCAAAGAGCAACUAAGAAAUUGGCACCCUCCGGAAGUGGACUUCCUAUCCACUUUGUUUCCCGCCCAAUUCGAGUCCAAAUAACCUACAAGCUUGGAGUUUGAUCCCCUUGGGUACCAUAAGCCAAAGUUUGGGGUAUGAGCCAAAUAUCGAAAGAUUUGCUUAACCGCCACAAAGUGACUUUCCUUAGGUGCGGCUUGAAACCAUGCACAAAUUCCCACACUCAACAUGAUAUCCGGUCUAGAUGCACAAAGGUAAAGCAAGGAGCCAAUCAUGGAGCGAUAUACCUUUUGAUCCACCGCUUUACCAUUGGGAUCAAUGUCAAGUUGGAACUUGGUGGGCAUGGGAGUGGAAGCCGGCUUGACAUCACUUAGCUUGAAUCUCUUGAGCAUGUCUUGAGUGUAUUUGGCUUGGUUGAUGAAGGUUCCUUCUAUCCUUUGCUUCACUUCGAACCCGAGAAUGAACUUCAACUCUUCCAUGGAAGACAUCUCGAACUUUGAGGUCAUGAGAGCGGCAAAUUCCUCAUUGAAAGCUUUGUUAGGGGAACCAAAGAUAAUAUCAUCAACAUAUAAUUGGCACACAAACAACUCCCCUUUGACCUUCUUAGUAAAAAGAGUGGGGUCGAUUAGCCCAACUUCAAAACCACGAUCUUGUAACAACUUGGUAAGGUAGUCAUACCACGCACGUGGGGCUUGUUUAAGGCCAUAGAGUGCCUUAUCGAGUUGAUACACAUGAUCGGGAAAGUAGGGAUCCUCGAACCCGGGGGGUUCUUGACAUAUACCAAUUCAUUAAUCGGACCAUUAAGGAAAGCACUCUUCGCAUCCAUUUGUUGUAACUUAAAGUUAUGAUGAGAAGCAUAUGCAAUCAACAUGCGAAUGGAUUCAAGACGAGCAACGGGGGCAAAGGUUUCACCGUAGUUGAUACCCUUGACUUGGGAGUAGCCUUGUGCUACCAAACGAGCCUUGUUGCGAAUGAUAAUCCCAUGAGCAUCUUGCUUGUUCUUGAAUAUCCACUUGGUUCCAAUGACAUUGUGGUUCUCCGUUGGCCUUGGCACCAAUCUCCACACUUUGUUGCGCUCGUAGUUGUUGAGUUCUUCAUGCAUGGCAUUGAGCCAAUCCGGAUCCUCGAGUGCCUCAUAGACCUUUUGGGGUUCAACACAAGAGACAAACGCGUGAUGUUCACAAUAGUUUGCUAAUUGUCUACGAGUGCUUACCCCCUUUCUUAAGCUUCCAAGCACAUUUGUCAUGAGAUGAUCCUUGGUGGAGAGCUUGGAAGCAAUCUUGGCGGCACGACGCUCCAAUUCCUCCUCGGGGGUGAGAUGAGGAGUGGUCACUUGAUCAUCUUGAGCGCCAUCUUGAGCUUGUUCUUGAUCUCGAGGAAGCUCUUGAUCUUGAACUUGCUCGGAGGAGAGAACUUGGCCUUGGGCAUCACUUGAUGUUACAACACCAUCUUGAGAUUGACCUUGCCCUUGGUCUUGUUCUUGAGGUUGAGGGCCUUCACUUUGUUCUUCAGAAGCGUGUGGGUCUUGGGUUGGUGAAGGUUCCACUUGAGUGGAACAUUGUCCUUCUCCUUCGGCCACAAGGGGUUCCUCAAUGGGUAGGAUAUGACCAACACACAUUCUUCUUAUGGCUUGGGGAGGAAUUUCAUCACCUACAUCACAAUUACCACUUUGCUCCACUUGGGAGCCGUUAUUCUCAUCAGACUCCACGUUACACGUUUCCUCAAUAAGUCUCGUGGACUUAUUGAGAACACGGUAAGCAUGAGAGUUUGUAGCAUAACCAACAAAUAUGCCCUCAUAAGCUCUAGCCUCAAAUUUAGACAAACGAACACCUUUCUUGAGAAUGAAACACUUACACCCAAACACCCGGGAGUACUUGAGGUUGGGCUUAUUACUGGUGAGUAUCUCAUAUGGAGUCUUGUUCAAGCCUUUGCGGAGGUAGAGCCGAUUAUAUGCAUGACACGCGGUGUUGAUGGCUUCGGCCCAAAAGUUGUAGGGAGACUUGAACUCCGCCAUAAUGGUCCUUGCCGCAUCCUGAUGACCCACGAGUAUAGGGGAUCUAUAGUAGUCCUUUCGAUAAGUAAGAGUGUCGAACCCAACGAGGUGCAGAAUGAAAUGAUAAGCGGUUUUCAGCAAGGUAUUCUCUGCAAGUACUGAAAUAAGUGGUAACAGAUAAUUUUGUGAUAAGGUAAAUUGUAACGAGCAACAAGUAACAAAAGUAAAUAAAGUGCAGCAAGGUGGCCCAAUCCUUUUUGUAGCAAAGGAUAAGCCAGAACAAACUCUUAUAAUAGGAAAAGCGCUCCCGAGGACACAUGGGAAUAUAGUCAAGCUAGUUUUCAUCAUGUUCAUAUGAUUCGCGUCGAUACUUUGAUAAUUCGAUAUGUGGGUGGACCGGUGCUUGGGUGCUGUUCUUACUUGAACAAGCAUCCCACUUAUGAUUAACCUCUAUUGCAAGCAUCCGCAACUACAACAAAAGUAUUAAGGUAAACCUAACCAUAGCAUGAAACAUGUGGAUCCAAAUCAGCCCCUUACGAAGCAACACAUAAACUAGGGUUUAAGCUUCUGUCACUCUAGCAACCCAUCAUCUACUUAUUACUUCCCAAUGCCUUCCUCUAGGCCCAAAUAAUGGUGAAGUGUUAUGUAGUCGACGUUCACAUAACACCACUAGAGGCUAGACAACAUACAUCUUAUCAAAAUAUCAAACGAAUACCAAAUUCACAUGACUACUCAUAGCAAGACUUCUCCCUUGUCCUCAGGGACAAACAUAAUUACUCACAAAGCAUAUUCAUGUUCAUAAUCAGAGGGGUAAUAAUAUGCAUAUAUGAUCUGAACAUAUGAUCUUCCACCAAAUAAACCAACUAGCAUCAACUACAAGGAGUAAUCAACACUACUAGCAACCUACUAGCACCAAUCCCAGACUUUGAGACAAGAAUUGGAUACAAGAGAUGAACUAGGGUUUGUAGAUGAGAUGGUGCUGGUGAAGAUGUUGAUGGAGAUUGCCCUCUCCCGAUGAGAGGAGCGUUGGUGAUGACGAUGGUGAUGAUUUCCCCCUCCCGGAGGGAAGUAUCCCCGGCAGGGUUCCGCCUCGUGGCGGCGGAGUCUCGUCCCGAAAAGUUCCUCCUGGUUUUUUUCUCAUCAAAAGACUUCAUAUAGGAGAAGAUGGGCGUCGGAGAGCCACCAGGGGGCCCACGAGGUAGGGGGGCAUGCCCUGGGGGGGGCACCCUCGUGAGCAGGGUGUGGGCCCCCUGGCCUUCAUCUUUGGUGAGGAUUUUUCUUUAUGUAUUUUAAGAUGUUCCGUGGAGUUUCAGGACUUUUGGAGUUGCGCAGAAUAGGUCUCUAAUAUUUGCUCCUUUUCCAGCCCAGAAUUCCAGCUGUCGGCAUUCUCCCUCCUUAUGUAAACCUUGUAAAAUAAGAGAGAAUAGCCAUAAGUAUUGUGACAUAAAGUGAAAUAACAGUCCAUAAUGCAAUAAAUAUCGAUAUAAAAGCAUGAUGCAAAAUGGAUGUAUCACAUCCAUCAACGUCCGGUUCUUCCUCUCCGCUACACCAUUUUGUUGAGGAGUAUAAGGUGUGGAAUAUUGAUGCUUGAUUCCCUCAUCACUCAAAAACUCAUCCAAGGUGUAGUUCUUGAACUCGGAGCCGUUGUCACUUCUUAUAGUCAAGAUCUUUGUAUUGUGUUGUCGUUGAGCUUCAUUUGCAAACUCGAUGACGAUUUGUUGGGUCUUGCUCUUCCUCUUGAAGAAAUAUACCCAAGUGUAUCUUGAAUAGUCAUCCACAAUCACCAAACAAUACUUUCUACCGCCAAGACUAUCAAAGGAUGGAGGCCCGAAGAGAUCCAAAUGAAGGAGCUCCAAAGGCCUCUUCGAGUAUAUGAUAGUCGUGGGAGGGUGAGCCUUCUCAUGUAGCUUUCCUUUGAUGCAAGCACUUAGAGGAAGAGGCAUCACCCCACUCGACGUUGGUGGGCAUGGAUGGAAUCUUUUGCACGUCCACCACCAAGUCCUUGCUUCCGGUCAUAUGAUUAGUAGCUCCCUGUCGAGCAACCAUGACCCCCCACUGGAAGCAAACGCCUACAAGAGAUCAAUGCUUGGUUUUAGGUACCCAUUUUGUAAUGGGCCCUUUGAUGUUAGUAACAAGGGUCUUAGGAACCCAAAUAGACCAUUCAAUGUACUCAUAAGGAGAACCAACAAAUUUGGCAUAAACAUGCCCAUCUCUAGCACGACACAACACAUAAGAAGGGUUAAAGUCACCGGCUUUGUUGGGAAUGGAAGCGUUGCCCUUCUUGGCACCACUACCCCUCACAGAGUUCUUCUACUUCUCCUUAGUAGCACCCUCUCCCUCCUUCACAAAGGUUUGCUUGAGGGGAGGAGGUCGUUUGGCCUUGUCAUUCUUGUUCUUGUUCUUGGACUUGGGCACGUACCCAAUCCCUUCCUUGGCCACAACUCCCUUUUGGUUGGUCAAAAGGUCGUUGAGGUUCUUCUCACCUUGUAUGCAAGACACAAGACCUUUCUCAAGUUGUACCUUUAGCUUAGCGUUCUCCUCAACAAGAUGCACAUGCUCGCAACAUGGGUUAGUAGCAUUUGCAUUAUCAAUUAACAUCAUACGAGGAAAAGUGGCUUUCUCCUUGGUUAGCUUUACUUGAAGUUGAUCAGGAGACUCUUUGAGGCUAGCAUGAGCACCCUUCAAGACCUUGUGAGCCUUUUCAAGUAGAUCAAACUCCUCUUUGAGUCUAGAAAGAUCAACCCCAAGCUUGGCCUUCUCGGAGUUUAGCACACAAGAGACAACAAGAGCAUGAUCAAAAUCUUUCUUUAACUUAGCGUGAUCGACGUUGUGUGACUCCUCAAGAGCCAAACGAAGACCACGCUCUUCCUCAAGAGCAUUGGAAAGAUCCGAAAUCUCAUCGGCAUAGUCACGACUAUGCCCCUCCAUCUUGAAGAUAGUAUCUUCAUGAGCCUCGAUCAUGUCAUUGGCUUCACCAACUUGUUCCAAGAGAGCAACAAAAUGCUUCUUGGAUUUACCCUUGAGUUUACCCAUAAAGGACUCAAACUCAUUUUCCUCCACAUUGUAUCCCUCAUGUUCAUCAAUGCAAUCCGUCAAGGAAGGAUUAUUAAUGAUGGUAGUUUUGAUGUUGGGGGUUACCUUGUUGGUGGCUUUAGCCAUGAGGCACUUGGCGGUGAUGUUCUCAUUGGGUGAGUUGAAGAGAGACACUUGUGGAGUUUUUGCAAUGGCUACAGAAGCCAUGGCAACCGACUCACCAUCUUCAUCAUCAUCAUCAUCAUCAUCCUCAUGGUACUCUUCUUGAACCACCAACGCCUUGUGAGGGAUCUUCUUGGGGAAGUUGCUCUUGUUGGGGAAGGACUUGGCUUUGUCCUUUCGGAUGAGCUUGCCACCAUUGUCUUCCCUCUUCUCAUACGGACAUUCCGCAACAAAAUGGCUCACAUUGCCACAAUUGUAGCAAGUCCUCACAUGUUGCUUGCUCUUCGUGCCACUUGAGUUGUUCUUGUUGAAGUUUGACCUUGAGUUCUUCUUGCUCCAAAAUUGCCUUGAAGCAAGUGCCAUGUGUUCAUGAUAGGUAUACUUUGUAUCUUCGGGGUUGCUUUCCUCUUCUUCCUCUUCUUCUUCUUCUUCAACACAAACCUUGGCCUUCAAUGCAAGGUUGGGCUUCUUUGCCCUUUGAGAGCGAAGCACCACAUUAUCGGCGGUCUUGUCCAAGAUGUUCAUAGCAACAAACUCAUCCAACACUUCACUUGAGGUCGAAGUGUGGAAGUCGGGCCUUUGACGAAUGACAGAGGACAUGGCCUUGUGGUAAGGCAUCAUUGCUUUGAGGAAUUUGCGCUUGAUCCAAUUGUCAUCCAUGUCCUUGAUCCCAUGAUCUCCGAGUGAGACUGCAAGUUUGGUUACUCUCCGAUAAAGCUCACGAGGUUCUUCAUCUUCUUUCAUAGCAAACUCAUCGGCUUCAUCUUGCACUACUUCAUAGUUGGAGCGUUGAAUGCUUGCGCUUCCUCGGUAGAGAGAGACAACACAAAGCCAUGCAUCUUUGGCCAAGGAGAAUGGCCGAAGAUGAGGUAGAUCUUCGGGUGGAAUUGCAUCUUGGAUGAUGAAGAGAGCAUUCUCAUUGAAUUGAUUAUCCGCGGCUUCUCAAGGAGUGAAGUUGCUUGGGUCAUGCGGAUAGAAACCUUCUUCAAUGAUUCUCCAAAGAUUAGUAUUCACAUGAUUUAAAUGACGCUUAAAGCGAUAAACCCAAGAAUCAAAGUCCUCAUUUUUCACAAUCUUAGGGGAGGACAGGCAUGAUUCAAAUGAGUGGAAGGAACCGGUCCACCAUAAACAAGUGUGGUACCACAUGGGCAAAGAUGCCGGUGCCAUUUUUACCACUAGAAGAAGGAGCCUUUUCACUCCUGCUUCCCCCUUGUCGGAGUUAGAAUCCGUCACCUUGUCGGUGGGAUCACCCACUUUCAACGGUGCGGUGGAUAGUUUAAGCCCUUCAAUGAAUUUGGUAAACAUGCUUUCAACCUCGGUCGUCAUGGAGGUUUUCAAUGUCUCCAAGGCCACAUUGAAUUCCUCACGAGAGACCGAUGUUCCCCCAUCGCCCGUAGACGAGAUCAAAUUCACACCGGAGUGUUCCUCCACACUGUCUACGGUAUCAACCAUACUCUUCGGAUGGUAAAGUCCUUAGUAAAGAGACGAGGCUCUGAUACCAAUUGAAAGGAUCGAUAUGGUUGACUAGAGGGGGGGUGAAUAGGCAAGCGCUAUCGUUUAACACCCCUGCUAGGCAUGAUGAUUUCAAUGAUGCUCACAUAAAAGAUAAGAAUUGAAACAUAAAAAGAGCAUCAUGAAGAAUAUGACUAGCACAUUUAAGUAUAAUUGUCGGUGUCAAAACCGGCGGAUCUCGGGUAGGGGGUCCUGAACUGUGCGUCUAGGCCGGAUGGUAACAGGAAACAAGGGACACGAAGUUUUACCCAGGUUCGGGCCCUCUCGAUGGAGGUAAAACCCUACGUCCUGCUUGAUUAAUAUUGAUGAUAUGGGUAGUACAAGAGUAGAUCUACCACGAGAUCGGAGAGGCUAAACCCUAGAAGCUAGCCUAUGGUAUGAUUGUUGAUGUGUAUGUUGUCCUACGGACUAAAACCCUCCAGUUUAUAUAGAUACCGGAGAGGGUUAGGGUUACACAAAGUCGGUUACAAUGGUAGGAGAUCUGCAUAUCCGUAUCGCCAAGCUUGCCUUCCACGCCAAGAAAAGUCCCUUCCGCACACGGGACGAAGUCUUCAAUCUUGUAUCUUCAUAGUCCAGGAGUCCGGCUGGAGGUACAGUUCGGCCAUCCGGACACCCCCUAAUCCAGGACUCACUCAGUAGCCCCUAAACCAGGCUUCAAUGACGAUGAGUCCGGCGCGCAGAUUGUCUUCGGCAUUGCAAGGCGGGUUCCUCCUCCAAGUACUUCAUAGAAGAUUUUGAACACAGAGAUAGUGUCCGGCUCUGCAAAAUUAGUUUCAUAUAUUGCCAUAGAGAGAAUAACAUUUACACAAAUCUAAUCUGCUGACGUAUUCCGUAGUGUGACACACCACGACCAAGCCUUUAUCCGAGUCGUUUCAUUAUCCCACCUCAGCACGUCAUGCGAGGCGGUUUCCUUGGCACGUCUUGUUAAAGCAGAGAUCGUGUCCCCUUAUUCCGGGAUUCUCAUCAAUACAGGCGUGGGUAACCCAACCGCUUCUAGGACUCCUAGAUUAUAGGCAAGUCCAAACGGACACAGAGAGGAUGCUUGAUAUUCACCCUCUUUAUAAAGGGACAAGGCUUUUAUUUUUCCCUCCUGUGUUCAAUCGAAUCCUUCCCCCACCUCAAGCUUAAACGCCCGAAGCUCAGGUCAAGUGCCCCGAACCUUCAGUCAUGUCCGGAUCUAGCCUUCAAGGCCGAUGGAUGCCUUCCUCCGUCAUGGAAGAAGACAUCAAAAAGUUGAGGGAGGCCAGAUAUCUGACCGCCGAGAUUUUGCAUCGGCUGCCUCCCCGAGGGCAGGCUGUCCCCACCCCCGAACCCAACGAGAACGUCGUCACUUCCUCUGAGGUCUAGGCCUUGCUCUGGAUCUUUCGUAAGGGGUUUGAUGUUUUACUACGGGCUAGACUUACAUGAUCUAGCUCCGGACUCCUUUCUUCAUAUCACAACAUUUAUUGUCGUGUGCGAGGCCUUCCUUCGAGUUACCCCUCACUUUGGCCUAUGGCUCAAGACCUUUGAAGUGAAGCCGGAGAUGAUCGAGGGGCAACAUGCAGCGUCUGGAGGUGCCUCAAUACGCAAGAUGAUAGGAGCUCCGUGGCCCAAAGGUUCCAUCCCAGAGGUGUCUGAAUUGUGGCAACAGGAGUGGUUCUACAUCACGGCUCCCAGAAGUGCCAAGUGGGCGGCCCUCCCAUUUUCCGCUCGGCCCCUCCACCACAGCUGAUGUCAUGGAUCAGCAGAGGUCAGAGCUAGGGUCCAGCCAAGGAUGUGCCUAUACUGCAAGGUUGCAUUCGAGAUCUCUUCAAUGGAGAUUUCAGUUUGGUUGCGGUAAUAUAGGUUAUGCUGGUUCGUCAAGUCCAGCCUUGCAAACGCCGGCCUCUUCGCCUGUGGGAGUUCAAUCCCGAGGGACCGCGUGUCAUUCAAAAUUUCCUUGGCCUGACGCACGAGGAGAUGUACAAGUCAUUCUUCGGACCUUAGGUAGAGUGUCCGGAAAUCACCGAGGACGUGGGCCUGAGCAGUAACCGCGCUGCCGAACAGGUAAGGAAUCUUCCGGCCGAACAUACUAUCUCUCAUUUGUUACGAAGUUAUUUCUGAGAGUUCGCUUUUUGACCAGGACUGGCUAACAAAGGCGAAGUUGAUUCGGUGUUCGGCUCCCCUCCCUGAGGGUUUGGACAAUCCGGUAUUGGAAAAGAUGCUCCAGGUCGCACCUUGCCCGGAGCCCUCGAAGGAAGAUACUGGGGAGGAUAAUACAGGCGGACGCGGGCCCCCAACGCUGCCCAUUCUAACCGAGGGAGCGAGCGUCCCCAUGAAGGAAGACAACCGGAGGAGGAAAAGGACUGCGCCCGAGGAUUCGGAAGCCGAAGCUUCCAAACGGGAGAAGAAGUCUCCCACAGAGGGUCCUACCUUGGAGGGUGCUUUUGCCGCACAAAGUCCACGGGGGGAUCAAUUCUCCAGCGAGUCGUAAGUGACCUGAAAUACUUUAAUAGUACAGGUAUGCCAUCUUUUUCUUCUAAGAAAAUAACCACCGCAUAUAUUUUUGCAGUUCGGGCCUUAGCCCCUCUCAAAUGAGCUCGUCUUCGGGGGAUCUUCUUCCAGAGAUGAUGGAGAGCGAAACGCCUCCUCCGGACUCCUCCGCUCCAGAAGCGGGCGACCCUGAAGUGUCGUCGCGGAGGGACUCUCUGAGUCCGGUGAGGCCAGAAGAUAAUCCCAUUGACCCCCGAAGCUCCCAGUGUCCGGCUCCCGAAGAGAGCAGACAAAAGAGUCCGGCACCGUCUAGUGUGUGAUCGGAUGUUCUGAGGGAGUUGGUGGGGCGAGCGGCCAUCUCAGAUGAACACCGUGUGCUGAUGAAAAUGGUGAUGGAGAGAAUAUCGCCUGCUGAAAGCGGAUUGCAUGAAGCUUUUAUGAGUCUACUGACAGGCUUUGAGGUACGUAAAAGAAUGUAUGAUAGUCCUGCACAUGCUCGGUGUGCCCUGUGUAGAUAGUAGCCCCUGAGACUCUGGUUGUCGUUGGAAACGACGACGAAUAGAGGAUCAUAUUCCCAGGUAAUAACCAUACUGCCUCUAUGUGCAGGUGAUGGAAGCUCCGGUGGCUAGCCGAACUAGCGAGUUUGCCCAUUUAGAACGGCAGUUGGAUGCGGCAGACGCCGACAUCGAGCUUGUUAACAAAAGGCUUGACGAGGCAUAGGGUAAGUGUCAUUAUCUGGUAAACGCCACAUAGGAAGAGCAGCAUGAUGCCAGUAUCUUUAAUAUGUUGUGACUGCAGAUGAAGCUGCCACUGUUGAAGCCUUGCGGGCAGAACUUGCCCGAGCCAAGGAACAAGCGAGGUUGGUAAUGCGGCUGCUGUGAAGGCGGCCGAAGAGUUGCAAGCCGAGAAGGCCGCGCAUGGAGAGACCCGAGACAAGAUGGCCAAGAUGGCUAUAGAAUUAAAAGCCGCCGCCGACCGUUGCCGGGUUCUUGAAAAGGAAAACCAAGCGAAGGCAUCAGACCUUGAGAAGGCUGCUGCGACGAAAAAGGACCUUCGCUCUGCUAUGAGGGCAAAGAAGGAGGAGCUGUGGGAAGCCGGGGAUAUUGUAGCUGGGAAAUCCUUUAUGUUGCGGAGGAAGUUCGGAGAUCCACGGUAUGCCUCUUUGGAUCGGCUGUGGAGUUCGGAGGAUGUAUAUAUGGAUUUGACGGCGAGCGCUGCUGAUGCGGCCAAGUAUUUCCAGGGUCAGACGGACUGUGAAGUAGACCAGCUAUUUUGGAGACAAUUCCAUUCUCCCGAGCAUCCGCUUUCAUUUACUGACCAAUUAGCCGAAUGAGCCAAACUAAAUAGGUUGUCCGGACUCUCCAUGAGGUCAGUUGUGGACCAGCUGUGGCCGGAAAGGUCAAAACCGAACAACUAUUUUAGCUUGGUGCAGCAGUUCCUUGACGUGGUGCCGCGCAUAAAUGCGAUGAAGAAGUCGGCGUGCAUAGAAGGCGCAUGGAUGGCCUUUGCCCGUGUUAAAGCAUACUGGGCGGAGAUGGAUGGUACCACUGUUGCAACGCAGGAUUCGGCCAUAGGUCGAAGGGCUGCUGAGCACUACAAUGAAGAAGUUCUUGAGGGUGCUCGUUUGAUAGAGACCCAGUGCUAAAAAAAUAUUAUGCUUGAGUGAUAUUUAAUCUCAUUGUAAGCGAAAUGCUUUUAUAAAUUUUUAUAAGGCUAUUUUUAUACUUUUUCCUGAAAGUAAUAUGAUGCCUCCUGGGCGGCCGUUUAUGUAUACACAUGUAUAACCUGAAAGAUUGCAGCCGUCGGCUUCAACCCUCACGCAUAUAAUGCGGAGGUGCUCGCAAAAACACGCAUUCACACUUAACCCAACGUCUUGGUUCUAUUAAGGAGGUGAUAGCGGAGCGAGCGAGGCAACUGGACUAUAAUGCUUUAGCACUUUCACUUAGCCAUAGGAGUUUGACAGUGGGGCUACUAGAUAGCCCCUGGUGGCUCUGCACUCUCCCGAUCUCGGGGUGCGUACAUGCCUGGCCGGAAAACGACCCUUCAUUAAGGCGGAGGAAUACUAACAUUCCCAUAGGUCAUCGAGUGGUUGACCAGUCUCACGCUAUAUCAUGACAGUCAGUUUUCGGCUUUCUCUACUGAGGUGCUCGUCCGAAUGAACCAGGGCACAAUCGCAGUAGUUCUCCUGGUGCUACCUUAGCUAGUAAAGCGGAACGUAAGGCACCAAAACACAGGAGCCGGGCAAACCCAACAUUUGACCAAAGACAAUGAUUCGGAGCUGAUGCAUAUAGGGCCAAACUCGUGACGCCGAACACUCCCUAAGGUGUUCGGUCUUUGUGGUAUAAACCGGGCCUAAAUAAUGGCCUUUGUAAGAAGCCCCUUGUGUCCAGGUACGUGCAUUGUUCUGGCGUGGCCACAUGCCAAGACGCCAGCAUCCUUCUCAACGGUGGAUAUGUAUCAACAAGAGACAGUAAAAAGGUUUACGCAGGGUCUUAAUCUAAAAAGAAUCCUUGGAGCGGGUCCCUGUUGCACGUCUGCGCCUGUGUCUCUAUUGUGCCGUAUCCUGGACGGGUGUAGCAUGAUGAUCGUCUGUAAAAGAGAGGAGUUUAGGUGAAAAAGUUGUCGUGCAAAAAGAUAGUUUGUUAAAUAAACCAUGUAUAAUUCAAGAUGAGAAGAAAUUGCCACUUGUCUGCGCGUGUUGAGCCCCUUGUAUUGACGAAUAGGGGUGUGACCGUUUAUUCGGUAUAAGUAGCGGCGCCGGACUCGAUUAGUUGUGUCUGAGGUCUUGACGACCUAUUGGACGCUUUCUGGUCCGGGCGCCUUUAGUGUGCGGCUGCCAAGGCAGCCUCACUCACUUCGGCGCACAGAGAUCGCUUGAUAUUUCCGUGCACUGUAAUGAUGCCACGUGGACCGGGCAUCUUGAGUUUGAGGGAGGCGUAGUGUGGUAUUGCAUUAAAGCGAAUGAAAGCUUCGCGUCCGAGCAGUGCUUGAUAGCCACUUUGAAAUGGAGCGAUGUGGAAAGUUAAAUGCCCACGACGGAAGUUAUCGGGGGAGCCGAAUAUAACUUGUAGUAGGAGGGAGCCCGUACAACGAGCCCCUGGGCCUGGCGUUACUCCUUUAAAGGUAGUAUUGCUAUGGCGAAUUUGUGUUGGGUCUAACCCCAUCCCGCGGAUUGUAUCCUGAUAUAUUAGGUUUAGGCUACUGCCGCCGUCCCUCAAGACUCUUGUGAAGUGAUAUCCACCAAUUACUGGGUCUAAUACCAGGGCAGCCCAUCCUACGUGUCGGAUACUUGCUGAGUAAUCGCGAUGGUCGAAAGUGAUCGGUUGAGAUGAUCAGUGGCAGGACUUCGUGGUGACAAGCACUUGGGUGUAUUUUCCUGGGAGUGCCGCGUUGUUUUUUCCCUUGAUUACGUGUAACACGUUUACUGUUUUGACUUGUGGUGGAAAUUUCUUUUGUUCCCCCGUGUCUUGCUUGGGGGGCUCGUCCUCGUCUUCACUUGGUGUAUCCUCCCCCUUGUGUACGGUGUUGAGCUUGUCGGACUACUUGAAGACCCAACAUUCUCUGUGGGUAUGAUUAGCAGGUUUACCAGGGGUACUAUGAAUCUGACAUACUUGGUCCAGGAUUUUGUUGAGGCUGGACAAUUCAUCCCUGGUGCCUUUAGGGGGCGGCUUUUGACCUGGUAGAGAGCUUUUGAAUCCGGCAUUUACCGCCGUGCCCUUUGUGCUGUCUUCUUUAUUCCGGCGUUUGUUAUUGCUGUUGCGCCGUGAUUUCCCGUUUCCAUCUCUAACUUCAGAUGUACUGGGGUCGCUGGUGCUGCAUCUGGCUAGCCAGCUGUCCUCACCCGCGCAAAAGCGGGUCAUGAGGUUUGUUAAUGCGGCCAUCGUUCUCGGCUUAUUUUGGCCGAGGUAUCUGGCGAGCCAUUCGUCACGGACGCUAUGCUUGAAAGCUGCUAAGGCUUCGGCGUCCGGACAGUCGACAAUCUGGUUCUUUUUAGUAAGAAACCUGUUCCAAAGCUUUCGGACUGACUCUUUGGGCUGUUGAGUUAUAUGACUCAAAUCGUCCGCAUCCGGAGGUCGGACAUAAGUCCCUUGAAAAUUGGCCCGAAAGGCGUCUUCGAGCUCUUCCCAACUUCCAAUGGAGCUUUCGGGGAGGCCUUUGAGCCAGUGAUGAGCUAGCCCUUUUGAGCUUGAGGGGCAAGUACUUGAUGGUGUGGAGAUCAUCUCCUCGAGCCAUAUGGAUGUGAAGGAUGUAGUCCUCAAUCCAGACCCCAGGGUCUGUUGUUCCAUCAUAUGCCUCUAUGUUUACGGGCUUGAAUCCCUCUAGAAAUUCAUGGUCCAGCACCUCAUCGGUGAAACAUAGGGUGUGUGCGGCACCCCUGUAGCUGGGUGUACUGCGUUGUUCGGAUGUUUGUUGUGUUGCAUUGUAUGUCGGGGCGCGCUUGCGUGGUCCAUAGAUGGAUCUUGUUGCGCCAUCCUUUGGGUGCGAGCCCUCGCAUGGGUCGCGUAUUGUAUUGUGAGCGGCGUUGUGUGCCGCUCUGUGUCGGUAGAGGGGUCCUCUAUCCGACCAGGUGGCUGCUUUGAUAUUUGGUUGUGGGGGUUCUGAGGCCUCCUCAUCGAAUUCGGGUAGCAGCUUCCGCUUCGGGUAGCUCUUGGAGGGGCGAUUGUCGCCGUACCUUGCUGCAGUGUUGAGUAUUUUACUCCAUCUGAUUUGGAGUGUGUCUUGCGCGGCCUUGAGCCUUUGCUUCUGCUUUUUCAGACUCCUCGCAGUGGCAACAAGCCUUUUAUGGGCAGUCUGCUGCUCCGGGUGUUUGUCCGGCGUUAUGUCGUCCGGACCAUUAUCCUUGAGAGGAUUUGGUUGUUUGGUUUGAUUAUCCGGAUUGCCGUUGUCCGGCAGCGGUUCGCCCUGCUCCAGCGCUGGGUCUGUGUGAUCGCUAUUUCUAUCGAGGCGGGAUUUGGGGCGGCGCUUGCGUAGCUGCUUUGGCUGCUUUUCGAGGGAACAAGCCUUCAGUGCGUCCUUCCGCUCCUCGUCGUCAUCUUUUGGUGCGUCCACCAUGUAUACGUCGUAUGACGAGGUGGUGUUCCAGGGCCCAAUAGGCGCUGGUUCUUCAUCGUCUCCUUCAUCGGCGUCCAUACCGUUGAUGUCUUCAGAGCCGAAGUCGAGCAUGUCGGUUAAAUCGUCGACAGUGGCUUCAAAGUGGGUGGUGGGUGGGCUUUGAAUUUCUUCAUCGCCCGAAUCCCAACCUUGCUGACCGUAGUCCAGCUAGGGCUCUCCUGAUAAAGAGAGAGAUUUCAGUGUCUUCAGAAUAUCGCCGAAAGGCGAGUGCUGAAAGAUGUCCGCGACAGUAAACUCCAUAGUCGGCGCCCAAUCGGAUUCGAUCGGCAGGGGCGCGGAGGGUUCGGAGUCCGGAGAGGAGUCCGGCUCCUUGGAGUCACGAGUCUCGCAGAGUGUGGGGCUGGUGUUCGGCUCGAUCGCCGUUGGGAUCGCAGCCCCCGAGGCGGCGUCCAACCACCCAUCCUCGAUCGGCGCAGUUGGCUCCGAAUUAAGGAUCGAAGCCGAUGCGGGUGCGGCCUCCAGGGCACUGUUCGGCGGUGGAGCUAGAUCAUGCUCGUCGUGACAGUGCGGAGCGCUCGGCAGUGGUUCGAAUCCAUCGAAGAUCAAGUCCCCACGGAUGUUAGCCGUGUAGUUUAAACUUCCAAAUCUGACCUGACGGCCAGGGGCGUAGCUUUCGAUCUGCUCCAGAUGGCCAAGUGAAUUGGCCCGCAGUGCGAAGCCGCCGAAGACGAAGAUCUGUCCGGGGAGGAAGGUUUCACCCUGGACUGCAUCGCUAUUGAUGAUCGUAGGAGCCAUCGAGCCUGACGGCGACGACACAGAGGAACUCUCAAUGAAAGCACCAAUGUCGGUGUCAAAACCGGCGGAUCUCGGGUAGGAGGUCCCGAACUGUGCGUCUAGGCCGGAUGGUAAGAGGAAACAAGGGACACGAAGUUUUACCCAGGUUCGGGCCCUCUCGAUGGAGGUAAAACCCUACGUCCUGCUUGAUUAAUAUUGAUGAUAUGGGUAGUACAAGAGUAGAUCUACCACGAGAUCGGAGAGGCUAAACCCUAGAAGCUAGCCUAUGGUAUGAUUGUUGAUGUGUAUGUUGUCCUACGGACUAAAACCCUCCGGUUUAUAUAGACACCGGAGAGGGUUAGGGUUACACAAAGUCGGUUACAAUGGUAGGAGAUCUGCAUAUCCGUAUUGCCAAGCUUGCCUUCCAAAUAACCCUCUCUCAAAUAACCUAUGGGAGGCGUAGGAUGAAGAUGGUCUCUCCCAAAUAACCCUACAACCAAAUAACAAAGAGUCUCUUGUGUCCCCAACACACCCAAUACAAUGGUGAAUUGUAUAGGUGCACUAGUUCGGCGAAGAGAUGGUGAUACAAGUGCAAUAUGGAUGGUAGAUAUAGGUUUUUGUAAUCUGAAAAUAUAAAAACAGCAAGGUAACCAAUGAUAAAAGUGAGCAAAAAUGGUAUUGCAAUGUGUUGAAACAAGGCCUAAGGUUCAUACUUUCACUAGUGCAAGUCCUCUCAACAAUAUUAACAUAAUUGGAUCAUAUAACUAUCCCUCAACAUGCAACAAAGAGUCACUCCAAAGUCACUAAUAGCGGAGAACAAACAAAGAGAUUAUUGUACGGUACGAAACCACCUCAAAGUUAUCCUUUCUGAUCGAUCUAUUCAAGAGUCCGUAGUAAAAUAACACGAAGCUAUUCUUUCCGUUCAAUCUAUCCUAGAGUUCGUACUAGAAUAACACCUUAAGACACAAAUCAACCAAAACCCUAAUGUCACCUAGAUACUCCAAUGUCACCUCAAGUAUCCGUGGGUAUGAUUAUACGAUAUGCAUCACACAAUCUCAGAUUCAUCUAUUCAACCAACACAAAGAACUUCAAAGAGUGCUCCAAAGUUUCUACCGGAGAGUCAAGACGAAAACAUGUGCCAACCCCUAUGCAUAAGUUCACAAGGUCACGGAACUCGCAAGUUGAUCACCAAAACAUACAUCAAGUGGAUCACGUGAUAUCCCAUUGUCACCACAGAUAAGCACAUGCAAGACAUACAUCAAGUGUUCUCAAAUCCUUAAAGACUCAAUCCGAUAAGAUAACUUCAAAGGGAAAACUCAAUCCAUUACAAGAGAGUAGAGAGGGAGAAACAUCAUAAGAUCCAACUAUAAUAGCAAAGCUCGCGAUACAUCAAGAUCGUGCGAUAUCAAGAACACGAGAGAGAGAGAGAGAGAGAGAGAGAGAGAUCAAACACAUAGCUACUGGUACAUACCCUCAGCCCCGAGGGUGAACUACUCCCUCCUCGUCAUGGAGAGUGCCGGGAUGAUGAAGAUGGCCACCGGAGAGGGAUUUCCCCCUCCAACAGGGUGCCGGAACGGGUCUAGAUUGGUUUUCGGUGGCUACAGAGGCUUGCGGCGGCGGAACUCAUUAUCUAGGUUUCUUUCUGGAAGUUUUGGGUUAUAUAAGAGGUGUUGGAGUCGAGAACAAGUCAGGGGGGUCUCCGGGCUGUCCACGAGGUAGGGAGGCGCGCCCAGGGGGGCGCCCCCACCCUCGUGGGCAGCCCGGGACUCUUAUGGUCCAACACUUUUACUCCAUGGCCUUCUUCUGGUCCAAAAAUAAGUUCAUGAAGUUUCAGGUCAAUUGGACUCCGUUUGAUUUUCCUUUCCUGUAAAACUCAAAAACAAUGAAAAAAUAGAAACUGGCACUGGGCUCUAGGUUAAUAGGUUAGUCCCAAAAAUCAUAUAAAAUAGCAUAUAAAUGCAUAUAAAACAUCCAAGGUUGAUAAUAUAAUAGCAUGGAACAAUCAAAAAUUAUAGAUACGUUGGAGACGUAUCAAAGAACAAAAUCGGUAAUGAGAGCAACGAUAUAGUGGGCAUGAUUAUGACUCAGGAGGAUACCGAUGCACGCCGAAUUUUGUAAAGUAUCGCGAAGUAAAGGGAACAUUGAUACAUCUCCAACGUAUCUAUAAUUUAUGAAGUAUUCAUGCUAUUAUAUUACCUGUUUUAGAUGUUUAUGGGCUUUACUAAACACUUUUAUAUUAUUUUUGAGACUAACCUAUUAACCGGAGGCCCAUCCCAAAUUGCUGUUUUCUUGCCUAUUUUAGUGUUUCGAAGAAAAGGAAUAUCAAAUGGAGUCCAAACGGAAUGACACGUUCGGGAGAGUUAUUUUUGGAACGGAAGCAAUCCAGGAGACUUGGAGUAGACGUCAGGGAAGCUUCGAGGAAGCCACGAGGCAAGGAGGCACGCCCUACCCCCCUGGGCGCCCCCCUUGUGGGCCCCUUGUGGCUCCCCUGACCGACUUCUUUCGCCUAUAUAUGUCCAUAUACGCUAAAAACAUCAGAGAGCACAAUAGAUCAGGAGUUCCGAUGCCAGAAGCCUCCGUAGCCACCGAAAACCAAUGUAGACCCUUUCCGGCACCCUGCUGGAGGGGGGAAUCCCUCUCGGGUGGCCAUCUUCAUCAUACCGGUGCUCUCCAUGACAAGGAGGGAGUAGUUCAGCCUCGGGGCUGAGGGUAUGUACCAAUAACUAUGUGUUUGAUCUCUCUCUCUCUCAUGUUCUUGAGUCGGCACGAUCUUGAUGUAUCGCGAGCUUUGCUAUUAUAGUUGGAUAUUAUGAUGUUUCUCCCCCUCUACUCUCUCUUGAUGAAUUGAGUUUUCCCUUUGAAGUUAUCUUAUCAGAUUGAGUCUUUAAUGAUUUGAGAACACUUGAUGUAUGUCUUGCAUGUGCUUAUCUGUGGUGACAAUGGGAUAUCAUGUGAUCCACUUGAUGUAUGUUAUGGUGAUCAACUUGCGAGUUCCGUGACCUCGUGAACUUAUGCAUAGGGGUUGGCACACGCUUUCGUCUUAACUCUCCAGUAGAAGCUUUGGGGCACUCUUUGAAGUUCUUUGUGUUGGUUGAAUAGAUGAAUCUGAGAUUGUGUGAUGCAUAUCUUAUAAUCAUACCCACUGAUACUUGAGGUGACAUUAGGGUUUUGGUUGAUUUGUGUCUUAAGGUGUUAUUCUAGUACGAACUCUAGGAUAGAUUGAACGGAUAAUAGCUUCGUGUUAUUUUACUACAGACUCUUGAAUAGAUCGAUCAGAAAGGAUAACUUUGAGGUGGUUUCGUACCCUACCAUAAUCUCUUCGUUUGUUCUCUGCUAUUAUUGACUUUGGAGUGACUCUUUGUUGCAUGUUGAGGGAUAGUUAUAUCAUCCAAUUAUGUUAUUAUUGUUGAGAGAACUUGCACUAGUGAAAGUAUGAACCCUAGGCCUUGUUUCCUAGCAUUGCAAUACCAUUUACGCUCACUUUUAUCAUUAGUUACCUUGCUGUUUUUAUAUUUUCAGAUUACAAAUACUCAUAUCUAUCAUCCAUAUUGCACUUGUAUCACCAUCUCUUCGCCGAACUAGUUGAUACGUCUCCAACGUAUCUAUAAUUUUUGAUUGCUACAUGCUAUAUUAUCUACUGUUUUGGACAUUAUUGGGCUUUAUUAUCCACUUUUAUAUUAUUUUUGGGACUAACCUAUUAACCGGAGGCCCAACCCAGAAUUGCUAUUUUUUUGCCUGUUUUAGGGUUUCGAAGAAAAGGAAUAUCAAAUGGAGUCCAAAUGGAAUGAAACCUUUGGGAAUGUGAUUUUCUUAUCAAAUACAACUCAGGAGACUUGGACCCUACAUCAAGACACGUAACAGGAGGCCACGAGGUAGGGGGGCGCGCCUACCCCCCCAGGCGCGCCCUCCACCGUCAUGGGCCCCCUGUUGCUCCACCGACGUACUUCUUCCUCCUAUAUAUACCCACGUACCACCAAACGAUCAGAGAUGGAGCCAAAACCCUAAUUCCACCGCCUUAACUUUUUGUAUCCACAAGAUCCCAUCUUGGGGCCUCUUCCGGAGCUCCGCCGGAGGGGGCAUCGAUCACGGAGGGCUUCUUCAUCAACACCAUAGCCCCUCCGAUGAAAUGUGAGUAGUUUACCUCAGACCUACGAGUCCAUAGUUAGUAGCUAGAUGGCUUCUUCUCUCUUUUUGGAUCUCAAUACAAUGUUCUCCCCCUCUCUUGUGGAGAUCUAUUCGAUGUAAUCUUCCUUCUGCGGUGUGUUUGUUGAGACCGAUGAAUUGUGGGUUUAUGAUCAAGUCUAUCUAUGAAUAAUAUUUGAAUCUUCUCUGAAUUCUUUUAUGUAUGAUUGGUUAUCUUUGCAAGUCUCUUCGAAUUAUCAGUUUGGUUUGGCCUACUAGAUUGAUCUUUCUUGCAAUGGGAGAAGUGCUUAGCUUUGGGUUCAAUCUUACGGUGUCCUUUCCCGAUGACAGUAAUGGCAGCAAGGCACAUAUUGUAUUGUUGCCAUCGAGGAUAACAACAUGGGGUUUUCAUCAUAUUGCAUGAGUUUAUCCCUCUACAUCAUGUCAUCUUGCUUAAGGCGUUAAUCUGUUUUCAUUAACUUAAUACUCUAGAUGCAUGCUGGAUAGCGGUCGAUGAGUGGAGUAAUAGUAGUAGAUGCAGGCAGGAGUCGGUCUACUUGUCUCGGACGUGAUGCCUAUAUACAUGAUCAUACCUAGAUAUUCUCAUAACUAUGCUCAAUUCUGUCAAUUGCUCAACAAUAAUUUGUUCACCCACCAUAGAAUACUUAUGCUCUCGAGAGAAGCCACUAGUGAAACCUAUGGCCCCCGGGUCUAUCUUCAUCAUAUUAAUCUCCCAAUACUUAGUUAUUUCCUUUGAUUUUACUUUGAUUUUAUUUUACUUUGCAUCUUUACCACAAAAAUACCAAAAAUAUAAUCUUAUCAUAUCUAUCAGAUCUCACUCUCGUAAGUGGCCCUAUAGGUAUUGACAACCCCUAUUUGCGUUGGUUUCCAAGGAUUUAUUUGUUUUGUGCAGGUGCGAGGGACUCGCGCGUAGCCUCCUACUGGAUUGAUACCUUGGUUCUCAAAAACUGAGGGAAAUACUUACGCUACUUUGCUGCAUCAUCCCUUCCUCUUCGGGGAAAACCAACACAGCUCACGAGAUUUUCUACUUUAAGUUUUGUGUUGUGAAUAAAGAAUGAAUUCAUUACAGUACCUUGAACUGGUCUUUUGUUUUCUUUCACUAAUGGAGCUCACGAGAUUUUCUACUUUAUGUUUUGUGUUGUGAUGUUUUCAAGUUUUGGGUAAAGAUUUGAUAGAUUAUGGAACAAGGAGUGGCAAGAGCCUAAGCUUGGGGAUGCCCAUGGAACCCCCAAGAUAAUCUAAUGACACCUAAAAGCCAAAUCUUGGGGGUGCCCUGGAAGGCAUCCCCUCUUUCGUCUACUUCUAUCGGUAAGUUUACUUGGAGCUAUAUUUUUAUUCGCCACAUGAUAUGUGUUUUGCUUGGAGCGUCUUGUAUGAUUUGAGUCUUUGCUUGUUAGUUUACCACAAUCAUCCUUGCUGUACACACCUUUUGAGAGAGCCAUACAUGAUUUGGAAUUUAUUAGAAUACUCUAUGUGCUUCGCUUAUAUCUUUUGAGUUAUAUAAUUUUGCUCUAGUGCUUCACUUAUAUCUUUUAGAGCACGGUGGUGGAUUUGUUUUAUAGAAAUUAUUGAUCUCUCAUGCUUCACUUAGAUUAUUUUGAGAGUCUUAAUAGCAUGGUAGUUUGCUUAAAAUCCUAAUAUGCUUGGUAUGCAAGAGUAAUAAUAAAACUUUCUUAUGAGUGUGUUGAAUACUAAGAGAAGUUUGAUGCUUGAUGAUUGUUUUGAGACAUGGAGGUAAUAAUAUCAAAGUUGUGCUAGUUGAGUAGUUGUGAAAUUGAUAAAUACUUGUGUUGAGGUUUGCAAGUCCCGUAGCAUGCACGUAUGGUAAACGUUAUGCAACAAAUUUGAAACAUGAGGUGUUAUUUGAUUGUCUUCCUUAUGAGUGGCGGUCGGGGACGAGCGAUGGUCUUUUCCUACCAAUCUAUCCCCCUAGGAGCAUGCGUGUAGUACCGAGGUUUUUGAUGACUUGUAGAUUUUUGCAAUAAGUAUGUGAGUUCUUUAUGACUAAUGUUGAGUCCAUGGAUUAUACGCACUCUCACCCUUCCAUCCUUGCUAGCCUCUUCGGUACCGUGCAUUGCCCUUUCUCACAUUGAGAUUUGGCGCAAACUUCGCCGGUGCAUCCAAACCCCGUGAUAUGAUAUGCUCUUUCACACAUAAACCUCCUUAUAUCUUCCUCAAAACAGCCACCAUACCUACCUAUUAUGGCAUUUCCAUAGCCAUUCCGAGAUAUAUUGCCAUGCAACUUUCCAUCAUCCCGUUCAUCAUGACACAUUCAUCAUUGUCAUAUUGCUUAGCAUGGUCAUGUAGUUGACAUAGUAUUCGUGGCAAAGCCACCAUUCAUAAUUCUUUCAUACAUGUCACUCUUGGUCCAUUGCAUAUCCCGGUACACCGCCGGAGGCAUUCAUAUAGAGUCAUCUUUGUUCUAGUAUCGAGUUGUAAUCAUUGAGUUGUAAAUAAAUAGAAGUGUGAUGAUCAUCAUUUUCUAGAGCAUUGUCCCAAGUGAGGAAUAUAUUAAAAAAGAAGAAGAAAGGCCAUAAAAAAAGAGAAGGCCCAAAAAAGGAGAAAGGCCAUAAAAAAAGAGAAAAGGCCCGAAAAAAGAGAGAAAAAUGAGAGAAAAACAGAGAAGGGACAAUGUUACUAUCCUUUGCCACACUUGUGCUUCAAAGUAGCACCAUGAUCUUCAUAGUAGAGAGUCUCUCAUGUUAUCACUUUCAUAUACUAGUGGGAAUUUUUUACUAUAGAACUUGGCUUGUAUAUUCCAACAAUGGGCCUCCUCAAGUGCCCUAGGUCUUCGUGAGCAAGCAAGUUGGAUGCACACCCACUAGUUUCUUUUGUUGAGCUUUCAUACAUUUAUAGCUCUAGUGCAUCCGUUGAAUGCCAAUCCCUACUCCUUGCAUUAACAUCAAUUAGUGGGCAUCUCCAUUGCCCAUUGAUUAGCCUCGUUGAUGUGAGACUUCCUCCUUUUUUGUUUUCUCCACAUAACCCCUCUCAUUAUAUUCUAUUCCACCUAUAGUGCUAUGUCCAUGGCUCGCGCUCAUAUAUUGCGUGUACUAAAGUAUGAAACAAUUUCUUGGCUUGUCAUCGGGGUUGUGCAUGAUGAUAGCAUUCUUGUGUGAUGAAAAUAAAACAUGACUAAACCAUAUGAUUUUGUAGGGAUGAACUUUAUUUGGCCAUGUUAUUUUGAGAAGACAUAAUCGCUUAGUUAGUAUGCUUGAAGUAUUAUCAUUUUUAUGUCAAUAUGAACUUUUGUCUUGAAUCUUUCGGAUCUGAAUAUUCAUACCACAAUUAAGAAGAAUUACAUUAAAAUUAUGCCAAGUAGCACUCUGCAUCAAAAAUUCUGUUAUUAUCAUUUACCUACUCGAGGACGAGCAGGAAUUAAGCUUGGGAUGCUUGAUACGUCUCCAACGUAUCUAUAAUUUUUGAUUGCUCCAUGCUAUAUUAUCUACUGUUUUGGACAUUAUUGGGCUUUAUUAUCCACUUUUAUAUUGUUUUUGGGACUAACCUAUUAAGCGGAGGCCCAACCCAGAAUUGUUGUUUUUUUGCCUGUUUUAGGGUUUCGAAGAAAAGGAAUAUCAAACGGAGUCCAAACGGAAUGAAACCUUCGGGAACGUGAUUUUCUCAUCGAAUACAACUCAGGAGACUUGGAACCUAUGUCAAGACACGUAACAGGAGGCCAUGAGGUAGGGGGGCACGCCUACCCCCCCAGGCGCGCCCUCCACCCUCUUGGGCCGCCUGUUGCUCCACCGACAUACUUCUUCCUCCUAUAUAUACCCACGUACCCCAAAACGACCAGAGACGGAUCCAAAACCCUAAUUCCACCACCGUAACUUUCUGUAUCCACGAGAUCCCAUCUUGGGGCCUGUUCCGGAGCUCCACCAGAGGGGGCAUCGAUCACGGAGGGCUUCUUCAUCAACACCAUAGCCCCUCCGAUGAAGUGUGAGUAGUUUACCUCAGACCUACGGGUCCAUAGUUAGUAGCUAGAUGGCUUCUUCUCUCUCUUUUUGGAUCUCAAUACAAUGUUCUCCCCCUCUCUUGUGGAGAUCUAUUCGAUGUAAUCUUCCUUCUGCGGUGUGUUUGUUGAGACCGAUGAAUUGUGGGUUUAUGAUCAAGUCUAUCUAUGAAUAAUAUUUGAAUCUUCUCUGAAUUCUUUUAUGUAUGAUUGGUUAUCUUUGCAAGUCUCUUCGAAUUAUCAGUUUGGUUUAGCCUACUAGAUUGAUCUUUCUUGCAAUGGGAGAAGUGCUUAGCUUUGGGUUCAAUCUUACGGUGUCCUUUCCCGGUGACAGUAAGGGCAGCAAGGCACGUAUUGUAUUGUUGCCAUCGAGGAUAACAAGAUGGGGUCUUCAUCAUAUUGCAUGAGUUUAUCCCUCUACAUCAUGCCAUCUUGCUUAAGGCGUUACUCUAUUUUCAUUAACAUAAUACUCUAGAUGCAUGCUGGAUAGCGGUCAAUGAGUGGAGUAAUAGUAGUAGAUGCAGGCAGGAGUCGGUCUACUUGUCUCGGACGUGAUGCCUAUAUACAUGAUCAUACCUAGAUAUUCUCAUAACUAUGCUCAAUUCUGUCAAUUGCUCAACAAUAAUUUGUUCACCCACCAUAGAAUACUUAUGCUCUCGAGAGAAGCCACUAGUGAAACUAUGGCCCCCGGGUCUAUCUUCAUCAUAUUAAUCUCCCAAUACUUAGUUUUUCCUUUGAUUUUACUUUGCUUUGAUUUUACUUUGCAUCUUUAUCACAAAAAUACCAAAAAUAUAAUCUUAUCAUAUCUAUCAGAUCUCACUCUCGUAAGUGGCCCUAUAGGUAUUGACAACCCCUAUUUGCGUUGGUUUGUAAGGAUUUAUUUGUUUUGUGCAGGUGCGAGGGACUCGCGCGUAGCCUCCUACUGGAUUGAUACCUUGGUUCUCAAAAACUGAGGGACAUACUUACGCUACUUUGCUGCAUCAUCCCUUCCUCUUCGGGGAAAACCAACGCAAUGCUAAAAGAGGUAGCACUAGUGCACCUAUACAAUUUACCAUUGUAUUGGGUGUGUUGGGGACACAAGAGACUCUUUGUUAUUUGGUUGCAGGGUUAUUUGAGAGAGACCAUCUUCAACCUACGCCUCCCACGGAUUGAUAAACCUUAGGCCAUCCACUUGAGGGAAAUUUGCUACUCUCCUACAAACCUCUACACUUGGAGGUCCAACAACCUCUACAAGAAGAAGGUUGCUUUGUAAACAUCAAGCUCUUUUCUGGCGCCGUUGCCGGGGAUGUUAGCGCUUGAAGGUAUAUCUUUAGAUCGUGCAAUCGAAUCUUUUGGUUUCUUGUUUUAUUACUAGUUUAGUAUAUAAAAGAAAAUUACAAAAAAUGGAAUUGAGGGUACCUCAUAUGCUUCAUCUUUUUAAUAUCUUUCAUGAAAAUAAGGAUUCCGAUAAUUGUGCCAAAGUGUUAGAAGAAGAAUGCAUUAGAAUGUUUGACACUAAAUCUUUGGAUGAUGAGCAUGAUUGCAAUGUUGUUAGUAUGAAUUCUUUGAAUAUCCAUGAUGCUAAUGAUUUGAAAAGCCACAAUCUUGGGGAUGCUAUGUUUGAUGAAGAUGAGAUUUUUUGUCCCCCAAGUUUUGAUGAGCAAAUUUAUUUUGAUGAUAGAAUGCCUCCUAUUUAUGAUGAUUAUGAUGAAAGUGGGUUUGGAAGAGUGUCAACUUUAGGAAGUAAUGACCCCACUAUUUUGGAGGGUGUUGAAUCUUAUUGUGAUAAUUAUGAAAGUGGGUUUGGAGAGGUCAUGACUUUAGUUAAUGUUAAUCCCACUAUUUUGGAAGAGUGUCAACUUUGCAUACAUGUGGAUCGUGUUAAGAAUAUGUUUUGUGAUAGCUAUAUUGCUGAAUUUGCUUAUGAUCCAACAUGUAAUUAUUACGAGGGAGGAACAUAUGCUUGUAGGAAUUGCAUUAAUAUCAAGUUUGCUCUCUAUGUGUUGAAAAUCUUGAAGAUUUGCUUGUCUUACCUUCCUGUGCAAGUUGAUUCUUGUUCCCUCAAGUUGUUUGCUCACAAAAUCCCUAUGCAUAGGAAGUGGGUUAGACUUAAAUGUGCUAGUCAUAUUCUUCAUGAUGCUCUCUUUAUGUUUCAAUUCUUAUCCUUUACUAGUAAGCAUGCACGCGCAACGCACGUCAUACAUGUUUUAAAUUAAAUCAAGCAUUUUAUUUCGAUUGAUAAAUCAUAAAAAAUUGAUAAUCCGUGAAUUUCUAUGUGUCUUCUGCAAAAAGAAUCCACCAUAGAAAAUAUAGCCUAAUAUUAUAGUCCUAAUAUUAUAGCCAUUUCAAGAAAGCUGACCCAAAAUGGUGCUGGUAUCAAAACCUACAAUAAGAUAAAACUCAGCAUUUGCAAAGAAUGGGGUGCUUAUCAAUGCACUGCUAAGAAUAGUAAGAUGAUUUAAUUAUAUGGCUUGUUUACUCCAGAUUAAGCUAUAAAUACCAGCAGUUCAAAUACGAACUAACAAGAAAUCAGUUAGGUUUGUAACCUGCAGGGAUAUUUUCUAAAAUAGAAGGUUAGUUUUUCAUACAAUGGAAGAGAAGCGUCCCCUGCCCUUGCAUUCGAAGAUACACACAGCCCAAAAUUAUUACAAAGCUCUUACGAUAUCAAUGAGCCAAAAGGAAGCGACAAACUACAUAGAGUGUGAAAAAAACAGAAAUUUAUAAGAGUACACAUUUAGUGAUGUCGUUUUUUGUCCAGUCAUAAAAUAUUACUAUUACAUUGGAAGGGCAUUUUAUCUACAUGGUUCAGUAGAGAUAGGAUCACAUAAAGAAUAAUGUGAAGCAUGGAAGAAAGUAAAGAAAAGUACUUCCAUUAAGUAUUGCAAUAUGAUAUAGUUGUGCUGACUAAGCUAUUUAAGUGUAACAAAUGAACAACGCCUUGCAAACUGUAUAUACAACAUGCCUGCUGUAUUUGGCUACUGAACUGUAGCUCCUCCUCCAUCCAUUUUAGAGUCCCCAUUCCUAAAAGUAGAAGAACAUGGUUAUUGUUCAUGCAUGAAAAUCUGAUUGUUCUCCAAGGGGGAGUGGUAAUAACAUGUUAAUUUAGGAGCUGUUAUCAAUAUAAAAACAUAAGAAAAGAGAGAAUAUUGCUAGCAAAAAAUAAUUCUGCACAAUAUGAACUCAUGAUAUGAGCAUCAUCUUUUAUUUGGCCACUAUUAGCACAAAUAGAUCAUCUUUUAGUUGGCAACUAUUAACAAAAGUAUUGUUAGGCGAGAAAUUAAAUAUGCUUAAUUGUAUAACACGUAUGGACGCACGCCCUUACUGCAAAAGAAAAAAUAAGUUGCUGCAACUGUUGUCGCACCUGCAUCUAUACAUAGAAUAGAAGACAAAUUUAAUAGCGAACUGACUACUCAUUUUGUCCUCAAACUGAAUAAAAGGGCACUGAUGAUGGGCAUAUCUUUACCCGUUUGACGGGUUCAAAUUGUUGUCAAAAAAGAGAAAAUAGACUCACCUGAUUGAGCAUGAACGACCAAGAAUACAACUACAAAUACUCUAGGAAUAUGGGCAGAAGCAUAUGGUGCCGUACAUGAUUUGUCCAGUUACGUCAGGUGUAGGAACUUAUUCUGAAUUCGGUUAAACCCAAAGGCCCAUCCAAAAAAAAUCUCCUGAUCUAGAAAGCCCGACCAUCUUGAUAAGAGAUAACUAAAAGAAAAAAACACAUAUGUAUCAGUACAGAGGGGGUUCUGUUUAUAACUACAUAUGAAAAAUAUAGUCUUGGUACUUGGAGAGCAAACUUGUGUUAUCCCUCCAAUACAUCUCUGUACACAAUGUUCUUGGUGCUUUUACCCGUCUGAUCUAUUUCUUUAUUUGGCUUUGCCAGAACCCGAGUUGUCCGCCUUGAAACACCCCUUGACAGUGCAAGAUAAAGCUGGUCGUGUGAGAAUACAGGAUCCGAAAGGUAAAUGCCAACAGUUGGGAGGGUUUGCCCCUGAGCUUUGUUUAUGGUCAUUGCAAAACUCAGACGAAUAGGGAAUUGCUUACUCUUCAACUUGAAAGGAAGUGAAAUAUCCUCCGAGGGUGCCAUCGGGAUCCUAGGGAUGAACACUCUCUUUCCAGCAUGUUGUCCACCAACAAUCUCGGCAUCGAUUGUAUUAUUUUGGAAAGCUCUAAUCAUCAAUCUCGUUCCAUUGCAAAGUCCAUUAUUAGGAUCGAGAUUUUGGAGUAGAAUGACAGGACAAUUGACUUUAACUUUUAAAAUAUCGGGAGGCAAGCCAUUCGGAGUGAGGUUGUUCAGAUAGUCAAUUGGGUAGUUAUUGUGUGUAUCAUCAUCAAUUGAAUCAAAGCUGUAGUAUACCUUUUGUUGGCCGGGAAAUCUGUCGAUCAUCUUUGCAUUUACGUCGUCCACGUGCUCAUUCUUGGUAGAAAGAAUAGCACAUGUGCUCAUGUAGGCACCGGAUGAUGCAUUCUCAUGAAGAGAUGGGAACACAUGUUCAAUAAACUUCAUGACUGGUGCAUCACCAGGUGUGUAACCUAUCACAAUGUCAUCAGGCAGACGCACAUAAUCAUCACCGAUCGUCUCCUCCAUUCCAUUGCCAAUUCUCAAGAGGUAUUUGGAGAACCAUAGGUUUGUCUAAUUUUCUACCAUAGAUAUGAUCUUUGCAGCGUGGCGUCAGUGAUCUGUGCUCUUGUCCCGCGGGGGACAACGGGAAGGACCUGCCUAAAAUCAUCUCCAAACACCACAACCUUUGCCCCAAAUGGCAUAACACAUCCCAUGAUAUCCCGUAGUGACCUAUCUAGUGCCUAACUGCUUGACGCUUCGUCAUGGCAACCUCAUCCCAGAUUAUGAGAGAUGCUCUCCGAAGCAACUCUGCAGUACCACUCUGCUUGGUGAAGCUGCAGAUGCUAUUAUCCAUGAGCUUAAUUGGAAUUUUAAACCAAGAGUGGGCGGUACGUCCACCGGGCAUGAUUGAUGCGGCUAUUCGAGAUGUCGCAGUUGCAAUAGCUAUUUUCCCCAAUGAACACACUUUAUCAAGAAGCGCCUUGUAGAGAUAAGUCUUCCCCGUGCCACCAGGACCAACAACAAAGAAAACCUGUUUCCUGUUGUUCACCACGUGAUCCAAGAUUUCCUCAAACCCAGCCCUCUGCUCAAUAUUUAGGGAUGUAUAUAGAUCUAAAUGCUCUUGAUCCACACCGACUGACAACUCCUCUCGGACCUCCCUUAGGAGGUCGCCGGAACCAUCACCGGUCUCAACCAGCUCCGGGAGACCAUAGCUUUUAAUAUCUUUGCCCAUCGAAUGCACCAAAUCCCGGAUGUCUCUUGCUACCUCUGGAGCACUGUGUUGGUUUUCUCCGAAGAGGAAGGGAUGAUGCAGCAAAGUAGCGUAAGUAUUUGUAACAUCCCAAAUUUUCAAUUUGGAAUGUUAUACAUAGAUCAUUCUUGCAUAUCAUGUUUUGUUGCAUUUCGUCUCGUGAUCCUCGAAAUCCUAAGCAACUCAAGGACCCUCGGAGAGAGUCGGGGAUUUCCCCGGUUUUCAAAUUUGAUUUAUAUCAAAUAUUGAUACGAGGAUUUUGGUUUUAAUUAUUUUUCUCUCCGAAAAUAUUUCAUAUUAAAAUAUAUGAGAGGAGAUUACAUGACUUCUCCAAAAUAAAUGAAAUAUUGGAGGAAAAAUAUUAAAAUCAAAUUUUGCUUUUAUUUGGUUUUUAUUUGCAAUUUUGGUUGCAUUAGAAAAAAAUUGCACGUUUUCAUAAUUGCAUUUUAGGGCCAAGAAAAUGUUCAUCUCGUUCUAAAUAUUUUAUUUAGACGGAGAAAAUUUGUUUUGGCAUUUUUAGAAUUUUAUUAUAUUUUCUAGGAUUUUUCUGAGUUUCGGCGGAUUUUUUUUUAAAAUGCGCCUAGGCCUAGCUGGGCCGAAGCCCAGCCGCCGGCCUGCCUCCCCGCGCGCCAUCUCCCCCAGGAGACCGAGUCGCCGCUACCUCGGACGAGGAGUCCGGCCUAGACUCCUCCUCGCCGCCGCCUUGGCCCCUCCUCCAAGCUGCCGCCCCCUCUCUCUUAAAUACCCCGCCACCGCCACCGCCACCACCACCCGCCGCACCGCCGUAGCCCCACCCGUAGCCGCACUCCGCCUCUGCCGCACCUCGCAGCCGCCGCUGCUCCUGCGCCUCGCCGNNNNNNNNNNNNNNNNNNNNNNNNNNNNNNNNNNNNNNNNNNNNNNNNNNNNNNNNNNNNNNNNNNNNNNNNNNNNNNNNNNNNNNNNNNNNNNNNNNNNNNNNNNNNNNNNNNNNNNNNNNNNNNNNNNNNNNNNNNNNNNNNNNNNNNNNNNNNNNNNNNNNNNNNNNNNNNNNNNNNNNNNNNNNNNNNNNNNNNNNNNNNNNNNNNNNNNNNNNNNNNNNNNNNNNNNNNNNNNNNNNNNNNNNNNNNNNNNNNNNNNNNNNNNNNNNNNNNNNNNNNNNNNNNNNNNNNNNNNNNNNNNNNNNNNNNNNNNNNNNNNNNNNNNNNNNNNNNNNNNNNNNNNGCGCCUCGCCGCUGCUGCCGCGCCGCCGCCGCCCCGCCCCGUGCUGGAGCCGCCCGUCGCGCUGGACUUCGCCGGAGGUAGAACCGUUCGGUUUAAAAAAAACAGGUUCGGUUUUUUUAGAAACCCUAGUUUUUUGGAUAGAUCGGUUCGCCGGUUUUUCCUGGUUCUUCUCUUUAGCGGACGUUUGUCCAUUCGUUCAUUUUAACAAACAGUUUUCGCCCAUUAGUAUAGAUAACGAACACUUGUUCGUUAGCCUGUUCGUCAGUUUUCUUUUAUCAGAUCAAUCCGCGAUUAUUUCUGAUCGUGAUUUCUGAUCUGAUUUUCGUUUUAGUUUUUCUUUUCGCUCAUUAGUCAGAAUCAGGCGAUUCAAGCGCCUCGAUCUUCGUCUCGAGACCCUCUUUCCGCUUAACCAACUUGCACAAGUUUUUGCUACUGUAAAAUUUGACCUAGGUCCAGAUUAGUAAACAGAUCUUGUUUCUUUCUCCGUUUGAGUUUCGUUGCUCCGUUUGAUUUGAUUCUUUUUGCAAAGCGGAGUUCUUAAGUUGAACAUUCUGGUUAGAUCUUCUUAUUUGAUUUUACCUAUGUUUCUUUGCUUGAUUUCUUAUGUAUGCUAUUGUUUGUUUGCGAUAGAAUUCUUGGAAUGUGAAGCGUGUUAUUUGGAGUCUCUAGGUUACGCGGAUCGUCAGCAAGGCAAGUAACACUUUGAUCAUACCCCUUUAUCACCCAGUUUUUAUGCAUUAGUUCCAAUCCUCAAACAUUGCAUGGUUAGGAUGUCAUUAACAUGUGGGUUGGGAAGUAGUUGAUGAGGUAGAACCUAUUGCCCUGUUACAUUCAAACAUUGGGAGUUACUUCUACGCGUUGCUUAUAUUGCUAUGCUAUGCUCGUAGACGUGGUUUGGGUGAGUGAAAUCCAUGACAGAUGUGAGAUUGUUAAUUAAUGGUUCAACUUAAGGUGGCAACUUAGAUGUGGAUUGAGGCACCUGGAGUACCCAGUGUUGCCUGUAUUUUUGGAAAUCCCGGUGUACCCGUGUGAUCUUCCUAUGGACCGCCACCCAGGCUCAAAGGGAACUGAGAUUAUUCAUGCUAGAAACUUCCGUGUGCAGCCACUAGCUAUUAUGGGCUCUAGCAUAGUUGAGUAAGUUACGUGAAGCUCUUGAAGAGGUGGAUCAACUAGUAGUGGGUUUGUAGGUUUGGUAUGGUCAACCCGGAGUAGAGAGUUAAUGUUUCUGAAAGACUGUGUCUCGGUCAUCCGUUUCUCAAACGCCCUGUAGUGCGAGAAAACCAACGGAGGAGAUCGAGUCUUGUGGGGAAAAGUGCGCAAACCUCUGCGGAGUGUAUAAACUAAUCAUGGUUAGCCGUGUCCCCGGUUAUGGACAAUCUUGAGUAUCUAGUACUUGGAGUAUCUUAAGUAUCUCAUCACUCUAAAAAUUUAAUAUUGUUGGGUUAUUAAUUACUUUAAUUGGGAUUGAGUUGGAGGAACCUUCUCAAUGAUGUUUCAACUACCAUGAUAGUUAAAAUUAAAAUCUAUUCCUUUGCUGUAGGAAAAAAUUGGCUUUUCGCAAAAACUAUAACCAUAGAGCUUUCCACCAGCCAAAUAUGCAUGUAGUGAUAGCAUUAUUCUUUUCCUGCUCUACUGUGUUAUUUUGCCAGCAUAUUCCAUGUGCUGACCCGUUUUUGGGCUGCAACGUAUUAUGUUGCAGACUUUUCAGACGAGGAGUAAGGUUCGUUAGGUCAUUGCCGUGCAGCUCAGCUAUGCCGUUGGAGUUGAUGGACUCACUUUAUCUUCCAAGCCUUCCACUGUUAUCUUAUUAGAUGGCCUUAAGCCAUAUUUAUUGUAAUAAGUUCUCUUUGGAGACAUUCGAUGUAAUAAGUGUGUGAUUGCUACUCUGUUAUAAAUCCUCGAGUACUGUGUGUGUCAGCAUUACUGAUCUAGGGAUGACACUGAAGCACAGAGACUUGACCGUUUGAGGUCGGGUCGCUACAGUAUUUCCCUCAGUUUUUGAGAACCAAGGUAUCAAAUCCAGUAGGAGGCUACGCGCGAGUCCCUCGCACCUGCACAAAACAAAUAAAUCCUCGCAACCAACGCGAUAAGGGGUUGUCAAUCCCUACACGGCCACUUACAAGAGUGAGAUCUGAUAGAUAUGAUAAGAUAAUAUUUUUGGUAUUUUUGUGAUAAAGAUGCAAAGUAAAAUAAAAGCAAAGUAAAUAUCAAAGGAAAUAACUAAGUAUUAGGAGAUUAAUAUGAUGAAGAUAGACCCCGGGGUCAUAGGUUUCACUAGUGGCUUCUCUCGAGAGCAUAAGUAUUCUCCGGUGGGUGAACAAAUUACUGUUGAGCAAUUGACAAAAUUGAGCAUAGUUAUGAGAAUAUCUAGGUAUGAUCAUGUAUAUAGGCAUUGCUACAUCUUGAGCUUGCGUUGGAUUUCCCCGAAGAGGAAGGGAUGAUGCAGCAGAGUAGCGUAAGUAUUUCCCUCAGUUUUUGAGAACCAAGGUAUCAUUCCAGUAGGAGGCCACGCUCAAGUCCCUCGUACCUGCACAAAACGAUAGCUACUUGCAACCAACGCGAUUAGGGGUUGUCAAUCCCUUCAUGGUCACUUACGAGAGUGAGAUCUGAUAGAUAUAAUAUUUUUGGUAUUUUUGGUAUAGAGAUGCAAAGUGAAAAGUAAAAGGCAAAGUAAAAGGCAAAGCAAGAUUAAAGUGAUGGAGAUUGAUAUGAUGAGAAUAGACCCAGGGGCCAUAGGUUUCACUAGUGGCUUCUCUCAAGAGCAUAAGUAUUCUAUGGUGGGUGAACAAAUUACUGUUAAGCAAUUGACAGAAUUGAGCAUAGUUAUGAGAAUAUCUAGGCAUGAUCAUGUAUAUAGGCAUCACGUCCGUGACAAGUAGACCGAAACGAUUCUGCAUCUACUACUAUUACUCCACUCACCGACCGCUAUCCAACAUGCAUCCAGAGUAUUAAGUUAAAAACAGAGUAACGCUUUAAGCAAGAUGACAUGAUGUAGAGAGAUAAAUUCACGCAAUAUGAAAUAAACCCCAUCUUGUUAUCCCUGAUGGCAAUGAUGCAAUACGUGCCUUGCUGCCCCUUCUGUCUCUGGGAAAGGACACCGCAAGAUCGAACCCAAAGCUAAGCACUUAUCCCAUGGCAAGAACUACCAAUCUAGUUGGCCAAACCAAGCGGAUAAUUCGAAGAGACUUGCAAAGAUAACCAAUCAUACAUAAAAUAAUUCAGAGAAGAUUCAAAUAUUAUUCAUAGAUAGACUUGAUCAUAAACCCACAAUUCACCGGUCUCAACAAACACACCGCAAAAAGAAGAAGAUUACAUCGAAUAGAUCUCCACAAGAGAGGGGGAGAACUUUGUAUUGAGAUCCAAAAAGAGAGAAGAAGCCAUCUAGCUGCUAACUAUGGACCCGAAGGUUUGAAGUAAACUACUCACACUUCAUCGGAGAGGCUAUGAUGAUGUAGAAGCCCUCCGUGAUGACGGCCCUCUUCGGUGGAGCUCCGGAACAGGCCCCAAGAUGGGAUCUCAUGGAUACAGAAAGUUGCGGCGGUGGAAUUAGGUUUUUGGCUCCGUCUCUGUUCGUUUGGGGGUACGUAUGUAUAUAUAGGAGGAAGAAGUACGCCGGUGGAGCUCCGAGGGGCCCACGAGGCAGGGGGUGCGCCCUAGGGGGGGCCCACCCUCGUGACCGCCUCUCUGAUGCCUUGGCGUAGGGUCCAAGUCUCCUGGAUUACGUUCGGUGAGAAAAUCACGUUCCCGAAGGUAUCAUUCCGUUUGGACUCCGUUUGAUAUUCUGUUUCUUCGAAACUCUAAAAUAGGCAAAAAAACAGCAAUUCUGGGCUGGGCCUCCGGUUAAUAGGUUAGUCCCAAAAAUAAUAUAAAAGUGGAAAAUAAAGCCCAAUAUAGUCCAAAACAGUAGAUAAUAUAGCAUGGAGCAAUCAAAAAUUAUAGAUACGUUGGAGACGUAUCAGGCAUCCCCAAGUUUAAUUCCUGCUCGUCCUCGAGUAGGUAAAUGAUAAAAAGAGAAUUGUUGAUGCGGAGUGCUACUUGGCAUAAUUUAAAUGCAAAUCUUCUUAAUUGUGAUAUGAAUAUUCAGAUUCAAAAGAUUCAAGACAAAAGUUUAUAUUGACAUAAAAAAUAAUAAUACUUCAAGCAUACUAACAAAGCAAUUAUGUCUUCUCAAAAUAACAUGGCCAAAGAAAGUUAUCCCUACAAAAUCAUAUAGUCUGGCUAUGCUCUAUCUUCACCACACAAAAUAUUUAAAUCAUGCACAACCCCGAUGACAAGCCAAGCAAUUGUUUCAUACUCUAACUUUUUCAAAACUUUUUCAAUCUUCACGCAAUACAUGAGCGUGAGCCAUGGAUAUAGCACUAUAGGUGGAAUAGAAUGGUGGUUGUGGAGAAGACAAAAAGGAGAAGAUAGUCUCACAUCAAGUAGGCGUAUCAACAGGCUAUGGAGAUGCCCAUCAAUAGAUAUCAAUGUGAGCGAGUAGGGAUUGCCAUGCAACGGAUGCACUAGAGCUAUAAGUAUAUGAAAGCUCAAAAAGAAACUAGUGGGUGUGCAUCCAACUUGCUUGCUCAUGAAGACCUAGGGCAAUUUGGGGAAGCCCAUCAUUGGAAUAUACAAUCCAAGUUCUAUAAUGAAAGAUUCCCACUAGUAUAUGAAAGUGAUAACAUGAGAGACUCUCUACUAUGAAGAUCAUGGUGCUACUUUGAAGCACAAGUGUGGUAAAAGGAUAGUAACAUUGUCCCUUCUCUCUUUUUCUCUCAUUUUUUGAUUUGGGCCUUUUCUCUUUUUUUAUGGCCUCUUUUUUUAUUUGGUCUUCUUUGGCCUCUUUUUUUUUCGUCCGGAGUCUCAUCCCGACUUGUGAGGGAAUCAUAGUCUCCAUCAUUCUUUCCUCACUUGGGACAAUGCUCUAAAAAUGAUGAUCAUCACACUUUUAUUUUUCUUACAUCUCAACAAUUACAACUCGAUACUUAGAACAAAAUAUGACUCUAUGUGAAUGCCUCCGGCGGUGUACCGGGAUAUGCAAUAUGACAAUGAUGAAUGUGUCAUGAUAAACGGAACGGUGGAAAGUUGCAUGGAAAUAUAUCUCGGAAUGGCUAUGUCAAUGCCAUAAUAGGUAGGUAUGGUGGCUGUUUUGAGGAAGGUAUAUGGUGGGUGUAUGAUACCGGCGAAAGGUGCGCGGUAUUAGAGAGGCUAGCAAAAGGUGGAAGGGUGAGAGUGCGUAUAAUCCAUGGACUCAACAUUAGUCAUAAAGAACUCAUAUACUUAUUGCAAAAAUCUAGAAGUUAUCAAAGCAAAGUAUUACGCGCAUGCUCCUAGG